CUGAAGAAUCUGCUUGAGAGGGCGUCCAUCUCAGAAGAUCACCGUGCUUUGAUGCGUAUGGUGAUUGGAAGGAUUUCGUCCGCCGAAAGUGGAUUGCAUAAUGCCGCCAGGAGUUUGCUGGCGGGAUUUGAGGUACGCAAGAAUGACGCACCUUUUUGACAGUUUUGCACAUAAAAGUGUGCCCUGUAUAGAUAGUAGCCCCUGAGACUCGGUAGGUUGUCGAAAGCGACAGCGUGCCAAGGAUCAAAAUCUCAAGUAAUGAAUGUCGCCAUUCCUAUGCAGGUGGCGGAUAGUCCGAGGGCUAGCCGGACUAGUGGAGUUGCCGAGUUAAUGCGGCAACUUGAUGUGGCAGAUGCGGACAUCGCACUUGUCAACCGGCGACUUGACGAGUCGCAAGGUAAAUGAAUUCUCCACAGUCUCUUAUUUAAGGGGGUCAAAGCCCGCCUCUGAUAAUGUAUAUGCUGUGAUACAGACGGUGCUGCUGCUGUGGAGAGCCUUCGGGCCGAACUUGCUCAAGCUAAGGAGCAAGCCCGAAGGAGUGAUGCGGCUGCCUCGAGGGCGGCCGAGGAGUUGAAAGCCGAAAAGGCUGCACACUGCCUAAGCAGGGAAAAGAUGGCCGAAUUGGCCGUGAAAUUAAAAGAUGCUGCCGACUGCAAUGAGGCUCUUGAAAAGGAGCGCUUAUCGGAGCGGGAAGACCUGGGGAAGGCCACCACCGAGGCCAAGGAUGCCCGUUCUGCAAUGCGGGCUAUGAAGGAGGAGCUGCGCCAGGCCGGAGAUAUUGUGGCUGGCAAGCCUUUUCUGUUGCGUCGUCGGUUUACGGAUCAAAAGUAUGCUCAACUUGGCCAGCUGUGGGGUCCGGAGGAUCCAUAUAUGGAUUUAGCGGCAAGUGCGGCUGAUGCCGUUGAGCACUUCCGGAGCCAGAAGGAUCACAAGAUGGAAGAGCUAUUUUGGUCUCAAUUCCAUAGUCCGGAUUGUUCACUUCCGUUGACCGAUCGGUUGGCCGAAUGGGCCGAGCUAAAUAGAUUGUCCGAACUUGCCAUGACUGACAUCGUGGCUCAUGUCUGGCCAGAGAGGCCCAAGGCGACGAGCUAUUUCGGCUUAUUGCAGCAAUUUCUUGGAGCGGUGCCGCAUAUCAAGGAGAUGAAGCGGUCGGCCUGCAUCGAAGGCGCGCGGAUGGCUCGUGCCCGUGUGAAGACACAUUGGACAGAGAUGGAUGCCACCACUAUUGCCGCCCAGGGUUCGGACGAAAGCCGGUUACCUGCCGAGCACUAUUUUGGGGAAGUUAUGCGUGGCGCUUGUGUAAUAGAGUCGCAGUGCUCGAAAAAUGUCACGUUCAAAUGAACGUUAUAGCUUGUAAAACGAUGAUUAUGCUAUAACUGUUUUUUAUACUUGUGCGUCCCAAGUAGUAAAAUAUCUCCUAUGCGGCCGUUUACGUAUACAUUUGUAUAACCUGAAAGAUUGCAGUCUUCGGCUUCAGCCCCCACGCACAAGGUGCGGGGGUGUUCGCAAAAAUAGCGCGUUUUCACACUUAAUCCGACGUCUCGGUCCUGUUAAGGAGGUGGUAGCGUAGCAAACGAGGCAAUCCGGACUAUAAUGCUUUAUCACUUUCACUUAGCCAGUGGAGUUCGAGGGUGGGGCUACGAUAUAGCCCCUUGGGGCACCGCGCUUCUCCGAGUUCGGGGCACGUGUGUGCCUGACCGGGAAAUGGUCCUUCGUCAAAGCGGGGAAUUCUAAACAUUCCGGUAGUCGAUCGAGUGGUUGAUCAGUCUCUCGCUAUAUCAUGACAGUCAGUUUUCGGCUUUCUCUACUGAGGUGCUCGCCCAGCCGAACUGGGGCACAAUCGCAGUAGUUCUCCUGGUGCUGCGUUAGCCGAUGAUACGGAACGUAAGGCAGCAAAACACAGGAGCCGGCCAAACCCAAUAUUUGACCAAAGACAUGAUUCGGAGCUGAUGCAUAUAAUGCCUAACUCGAGACGCUGAACACUCCCUAAGGUGUUCGGUCUUUAUAAUAAUGGGCAGAACAAUGCCCUAAGCCCCUAGUGUCCAGGUACGGGCAUGGUCCUCUGACGCGGCCGAUGCCAAAAUGUCAAGCUCCGCUUUGGUUAUAAGAAGAAACCAAGGGAGAAUAACAACAAGAGAUAGUAAAAAAAGGUUUACGCAGGGUCUUAAUCUGAAAAGAAUCCUCGCGACGGGUCCCUACUGCAUGUCUGCGCCUGUGUCUCCAUUGUGCCGUUAUCCUGGACGGGUGUGCACGUUGUUCAUCUGUAAAAAGAGAGGAACUUAGUUUGAAAAGAACUCGUGCGAAAAAAGUAUAUGUGAAAGAAGAAAUAUAAAUAAGUAAAGCGGGGUCUGUAUGAACUCGCUGUUGUUUGUGCGCGCAGCCCCUUGUGAAGGGAUGUGCGGCUAGGGAGCCCCUAGCUUACUUAUGCCGGACUCGUCUAUCCGUGUCCGGGGUCUUUAGGUGACCCUCGCACUGAAAUGAUGCCACGUGGACCGGGCAUCUUGAGUGUAAGAGACACGUAAUGUGGUAUGGCAUUGAAACGGACAAAAGCCUCUCGUCCCAAGAGUGCUUGAUAUCCACUUUUGAAUGGGACGAUAUGAAAGAUUAGUUUUUCGCGUCGAAAGUUGUUCGGUGAUCCGAACACAACUUCUAGUAAUAGGGAGCCUGUGCACUUGGCAUAAGGGCCUGGCGUCACUCCUUUGAAGGAAGUGCGGCUGUGUCGAAUUUUAGUAGGGUCUAUCCCCAACUUGCGGAUUGUGUUUGGAUACAGCAGGUUUAAGUCGCUGCCUCCGUCCAUCAGGACUUGAGUAAAUUGUAGUCCGUCGAUUAUAGGAUCCAAUAUCAGGGCAGUCCAUCCUGCGUUUCGAACGCUUCUGGAAUAAUCCAGGUGGUCGAAAGUGAUUGGUUUUGAUAUCCAAUCUCUAUGGUCUGCUGGGUUGGACCGUGUGAGGCUCCUUUUAGAGGGUGCCGCACUAUUUUUCCGUAUUAUCACAUGAAGUGAGUUUACUGCUUUGACCUCUUGUGGGAAAGUCUUUUGCUUUCCGGUGCUCUGCUGGUGGGGUUUAUCGUCUUCGCUUGACGCGUCGAGCCCCUUGUGUUCGGCGUUUAGUCGGCCGGACUGUUUGAAAACCCAACAAUCUCGAUGGGUGUGGUUUGCAGGCCUUCCGGGGGUACUGUGGAUUUGAUAUAUCCGACCCAAAAUCUUGUUUAAGUUGGAUAGCUCAUUGCUAUCAUCCUUAAGAGGCGGUGUUUUGUUGUUUGGCCGCGAGCUUUUGAAUCCGGCGUUGACUGCCGUGCUCUUUGGGCUUUUCUCUUUAUUCCGACGCUGCUCUUCUCUGCGCCGUGAUUUUCCGUUUCCAUCUCUUAUCUCGGAUGUACUUGGGUCGCUGGUGCUGGAUCUUGCUAGCCAGCUAUCCUCUCCCGCACAGAAGCGGGUCAUGAGGCUUGUUAGCGUGGACAUUGUCCUCGGUUUCUCUUGGCCGAGGUGUCUGGCAAGCCAUUCAUCUCGGACGUUGUGUUUAAAAGCUGCUAAGGCUUCGGCGUCCGGACAGUCGACUAUUUGGUUCUUUUUGGUGAGGAACUUGUUCCAGAAUUUGCGCGCUGACUCUCCGGGCUGUUGAGUUAUAUGACUUAGAUCAUCUGCAUCCGGAGGGCGGACAUAAGUCCCUUGAAAAUUUUCUCUAAACGCGUCCUCGAGCUCUUCCCAACUUCCAACAGUGUUUUCUGGGAGGCUUUUAAGCCAAUGACGGGCUGGCCCUUUGAGCUUGAGGGGUAGGUAUUUUAUGGCGUGGAGAUCAUCUCCUCUGGCCAUGUGUACGUGUAGUAUAUAAUCUUCUAUCCAGACUCCAGGGUCUGUUGUUCCAUCGUAGGCCUCUAUGUUUAUGGGUUUAAAUCCUGCUGGGAAUUCAUGGUCCAGCACCUCAUUGGUGAAACAUAGUGGGUGUGCGGCGCCCCUGUAUUUGGGUGUGCCACUAUCUUUGGACACUUGACGUGUUGCAUUGGUUCCUGGGGCCUUCUUCUUUGGCCCGUAAAUGGACCUGGCUGGGCCAUCUGUCUUUCCAGGUUCAUUAGUCGGUUUAUGUGUGGCGCCGCUUUAAUUUGGCCUAUCAUCUGGCCGUCUAUCCAACCAGGCAGCCUCUUUAUUUUUUGACUGUGGGGGCUCUAUGGCCUCCUCGUCAAAUUCUGGCAGCAGCUUGCGCUUCAGGUAGCUCUUUGAUUGGUGGCCAUUGCCGUAUUUAUCCGCGGUUUUGAGCACUUUGCUCCACCUCAUUCUGAGUGUGUCUUCCGCUGUUUUGAGCUUCCGUUUUUCCUUCUUCAAGCUUCUUGCGGUGUUGACGAGUCUUUUCCGAAGGUUUUUACUCUCCGGCGGCGUGUCCGGCAUGAGGUCGUCCGGACUGUUGUUUUCGCCGGGCCUGGACUGAUUAUCUGACUCGUCCUGUUCGGACGGUUGCUUAUCUGCAUGUUCGUCGUCCACUUGUGUGCCCUGCUGUAUUGCGGGGUCAUUAGGAGCGUUGUUGUUGUCGAGGCGGGACUUAGGGCGGCGUCUGCGCCACCGUUUUGGUUGUUUGUCGGCGGGGUUAUCUUCUGCCGUGGCCCGUUGGUCCUCGUUAUCGCUCUCCUUUGGGGUAUCCACCAUAUAUACGUCGUAUGACGAGGUGGUCCUCCCAUGCGCUAUAGGCAUUGGUUCUUGUUCUCCUCCGGCAUCGUCGUCCAUACCGUCGAUGUCUUCAGAGUCAUAGUCUAGCAUGUCGGUUGGAUAGUCGACAGUGGCUACAAAGUGGGUGGUGGGUGGGCUCUGAAUUUCUUCGUCGUCCUUAUCCCAACCAUCCUGGCCAUAGUCCGGCCAGGACUCUCCUGAUAGCGAGAGAUGCUUUAGCGAAUUUAGGAUGUCACCAAAGGGCGAGUGUUGGAAGAUGUCCGUGGCGGUGAAUUCCAUAACCGGCGCCCAAUCAGAUUCGAUUGAUAGGGGCGGGGGAGGUCCGGAGUCCGGCACCUCGGAAUCACGAGUUUCGCGAGGGACAAGGUUAGUGUUCGGCUCCAUCGCCGUGGAAGUUGAAGCCCCCGAGGUGGCGUCCAUCCACCGGUCCUCGAUCUGGGCGAUCGGCUCCGGACUAAGGGCCGAAGCGGAUUCGAGUGCGGCCACCAAGGCACUGUUCGGCGGCAGAGCUAGUUUAUGCCCAUCGUAACAGUGUGGCGCGCUUGGCUGUGGCUCGAGCCCGUCAAAGAUCAAGUCUCCGUGGACGUCGGCCGUGAAGUUUAGAUUUCCGAAUCUGACCUGACAGCCAGGGGCGUAGCUUUCGAUCUGCUCCAGAUGGCCAAGCGAAUUAGCCCGCAGUGCGAAGCCGCCGAAUACGAAGAUCUGUCCGGGGAGAAAAGUCUCACCCUGGACAGUGUUGUUGGUUGAAGAUGCCAUCGAGCCUAUCGGUGACGACACAGAGGAACUCUUAAUGAAAGCACUAAUGUCGGUGUCAAAACCGGUGGAUCUCGGGUAGGGGGUCCCGAACUGUGCGUCUAGGCGGAUGGUAACAGGAGACAAGGAACACGAUGUUUUACCCAGGUUCGGGCCCUCUCGAUGGAGGUAAAACCCUACGUCCUGCUUGAUUAAUAUUGAUGAUAUGGGUAGUACAAGAGUGGAUCUACCACGAGAUCAAGGAGGCUAAACCCUAAAGCUAGCCUAUGGUAUGAUUAUUGUAAUGUGUGUUGUCCUACGGACUAAAGCCCUCCGGUUUAUAUAGACACCGGAGGAGGCUAGGGUUACACAGAUUCGGUUACAAUGGUAGGAGAUCUACAUAUCCGUAUUGCCAAGCUUGCCUUGCACGCCAAGGAAAGUCCCAUCCGGACACGGGACGGAGUCUUCAAUCUUGUAUCUUCGUAGUCUUGGAGUCCGGCGGACGAUGAUAGUCCGGCUGUCCGGACACCCCCUAGUCCAGGACUCCCUCACUUGUCCUCAAGUGGAAGCCGAAAUCGAAAAAUAUUUCCACAUGUUUAGAGAUAGAGGUAUCGAUAAAAAAAUUAAAAUACGGACAUGAGGGCAUCAUGAUCAUUCUUAUAACAACAACAUAUAUAGAUUUUGUCAUAUGGUUUCUUAUGCUCAAGUAACAACCGAUUCACAAUGUCAAGCAUGGAACAUAAACUUCAUUAAGAACUAGCAAACUAUAAUCUCAGUCAUUGAAGCAAUUGCAAUUUAUCAUAACUUCAGAAAGAGUCAAGAAUAGAGCCUUUCAGCAAGUCCACAUACUCAACUAUCAUAUAGUCUUCUACAAUUGCUAACACUCACGCAAUACUUGUGGUUAUGGAGUUUCAACCGGACACUAAGAAAGAUAGGGGCUUAUUGUGUUGCCUCCCAACGUAUUCACCUUUGGGUGAUGUCAACAAUAAUAAUUCAUGCUAACUUACAUCCAAUUGGGCUUGGAGGAUCUUUCAAACACGAGGAGCUUGCCAAAGGGUAAAAUGAAAAAGGGAAAGGUGAAGAUCACCUUGACUCAAGCAUAAAGUAAAAACAUAAAGUAAAAGAUAGGCCCUUCUCAGAGGGAAGCAGAGGUUUUCAUGUGCUUUUAGGGUUGGAUGCACAAAAUCUUAAUGCAAAAGAACGUCACUUUAUAUUGCCACUUGUGAUAUGAACCUUUAUUAUGCAGUCCGUCGCUUUUAUUACUUCCAUAUCACACGAUCGUAUAAAGCUUAUUUUCUCUGCACUAAUAAGUCAUACAUAUUUAGAGAGCAAUUUUUAUUUCUUGCAACAUGACAACUUGAAGGAUCUUACUCAAUCCAUAGGUAGGUAUGGUGGACUCUCAUGGCAAAACUGGGUUUAAGGAUAUUUGGAAGCACAAGUAGUAUCUAUACUUGGUGCAAGGAAUUUUGGCUAGCAUGAGGGGGAAAGGCAAGCUCAACAUGUUGGGAAGAUCAAUGACAAUAUUCUUUAACUGAGAUGUGAGAAAACAUAAACCAUUACGUUGUCUUCCUUGUCCAACAUUAACUCUUUUAGCAUGUCAUACUUAAUGAGUGCUCACAAUCAUAAAAGAUGUCCAAGAUAGUAUAUUUGUAUGUGAAAACCUCUCUUUCCUUAUUACUUCCUAUUAAUUGCAACGAUGACCAAAACUAUGUUUGUCAACUCUCAACAACUUUUAUGCCUCAUACUUUUAUGUGUGAAGUUGUUACUAUCCACAAGAUCAAUAUGAACUCUUUUAUUAUUUUUAUUCUUUCUACUAUCUCGAGAUCAUAGCAAGAUAGCAAAGCCCUUGACUCAACACUAAACUUUAUUAUAGAUAGCUCACGGACUCGAUUACAAAAAGAGAUCACAAAGCAAAACUCAAAACUAAUUCAUACUAAAGCUUCAAUCUACUAGAUCAAGAUAUUACUAAAAGGAUCGAACUAAGUAAAACGGUAAAGAUAGGGGUGUGAUGGUGAUACGAUACCGGGACACCUCCCCCAAGCUUGGCAGUUGCCAAGGGGAGUGACCAUACCCAUGUGGUUAUGUCCUCGGAGGUGGUGAAGUAGGAUUUGUUGAUGAUGUAGGCUUGUCGUCCAUCUUCCAAGGCAUAGGCUCACCAUCAUAGAAGGAUGAUCGAGUGUCCGGGACCUCAAAUCUGCAGCCAAACUCAUCCUCUUGAGUCUAUAUUCAUACUCACAGUUUUUGUUUUGCAGGUCAUAGAUCUGGGCUUGGAGGUGCUCGAUUUUCUGUUGAAGCUUAAAGAUGGUGUCCCCAAUGAUCUUGGCAUCCAGCUUGUGGUUGUUGGUGAACUCCGUGAUCAUCAUCUGGUUGGUGUUGAGUCCACGCUCCACCAUCCCUUGGCACUUGAAAACUUGUUGCUCCAUGGCUUCGAGCUUUGUCUCCACGCUUCCGGUACGCCUUGGUCCCUCCACAUCGCAGAUGUGCAGCACCCCCUCACGCAUCGCAAUUGUUUGAGGGUGUUGCAGCACCUCCGCGAGAUAGGGGUUGAUAACCCUCUUGAAAAUCUUGUCCUUGGGAGCGCUUGGAGAUGUCAUGGUGCUUUAGAUCUGUCAGAAAAAUAGCUCAAAAUGAAAACAGAGGAUAUUUGCGUGAUACGGUGGUCAAAACUGUCAGGAGAUUAUAUAAUGAAUUUUUACCGACCAAAAUAUGUAACAUGCAAGAAAACGGAGUCCGGGAGGCACACGAGGUGGACACGAGACAGGGGGGCGUGCCCAGGAAGGGUGGGCGCGCCCUCCACCCUCGUGGAGGCCUCGUGUCCUUCCCGGAUUACUUCUUUCUUUCCAAAAUUCUUAAAUAUUCCAAAACGGAGGAAAAUCGCCUUUCGAAUUGUUUUGGAGUCAGUUUACAUACUGUACCACAUACCUAUUCCUUUUCGGAGUCUGAAACUUUUUGGAAAGUGUCCCUUAUGUAUUCGUCUGGGGUUAUGGUCUAAAUAAUAUUAGUUUCAACUUUGAUAGGAUUACCUGAAAUAUAAUGUUUGAUUCUUUGACCGUUCACCACCCUCGGACUUGUGCCUUCGAAGUUGUUGAUUUUUAUGGCACCGGAAUGAUAGACCUCCUCGAUAACGUAAGGACCUUCCCAUUUAGAGAGAAGUUUUCCUGCAAAAAAUCUUAAACGAGAGUUGAAUAAUAACACAUAAUCACCUACGUUAAAUUCACGCUUUUGUAUCCUUUUGUCAUGCCAAUGUUUAACUUUUUCUUUGAAUAGCUUAGCAUUCUCGUAGGUUUGGGUUCUCGAUUCAUCAAGUGAGCUAAUAUAAAAUAACCUCUUCUCACCGGCAAGUUUGAAGUCAUAAUUGAGCUCUUUAAUAGCCCAAUACGCUUUAUGUUCAAGUUCAAGAGGUAAGUGACAUGCUUUUCCAUAAACCAUCUUAUACGGAGACAUACCCAUAGGAUUUUUAUACGCAAUUCUAUAGGCCCAUAAUGCAUCAAGUUUCUUGGACCAAUUUUUUCUAGAUCUAUUCACAGACUUUUGCAAGAUUAUUUUGAGCUCUCUAUUGCUCAACUCUACUUGACCACUAGACCGCGGGUGACAGGGAGAUGCAAUUAUAUGAUUAACAUCAUACUUAGCAAGCAUCUUACGGAAAGCACCAUGAAUAAAAUGUGAACCACCAUCAGUCAUAAGAUAUCUAGGGACUCCAAACCUCGGAAAAAUAACUUCUUUAAGCAUUUUAAUAGAGGUGUUAUGAUCAGUACUACUAGUUGGAAUAGAUUCUACCCACUUAGUAACGUAAUCAACAGCAACUAAAAUAUGUGUGUAACCAUUAGAGGCAGGAAAAAGUCCCAUAUAAUCAAAGCCCCAAACAUCAAAUGGUUCAAUAACAAGAGAAUAAUUCAAAGGCAUUUCUUGAAGUCUACUAAUAUUACAAUUCUUUGACAUUCAUCACAAGACAAGACAAACUUACGAGCAUCUUUGAAGAGAGUAGGCCAAUAAAAACCGGAUUGCAAUACCUUAUGUGCAGGUCUAUCUCCAGCGUGGUGUCCUCCAUACGAUUCAGAGUGACACUUGCGUAGGAUCUGUUCUUGUUCAUGCUCAGGUACACAACGCCUAAUAACACCAUCUACUCCUUCUUUAUAAAGGUGUGGGUCAUCCUAGAAGUAAUGUCUUAAAUCAUAAAAGAACUUUUUCUUUUGCUGGUAUGUGAAACUAGGUGGUAUAAAUUUAGCAACAAUGUAAUUAGCAUAAUCAGCAUACGAAGGAGCAGAACGAGAAGCAUUAACGACCACUAAUUGUUCAUCAGGAAAGCUAUCAUCAAUAGGUAGUGGGUCAUCAAGAACAUUCUCUAGCCUAGACAAGUUGUCUGCAACGGGGUUCUCAGCUCCCUUUCUAUCAAUAAUAUGCAAAUCAAAUUCUUGGAGCAAGAGAACCCAUCUAAUGAGUCUAGGCUUUGCAUCUUUCUUUUCCAUAAGAUAUUUAAUAGCAACAUGAUCAGUGUGAAUAGUAACUUUAGAAUCAACAAUAUAAGGUCUGAACUUAUCACAAGCAAAUACGACUGCUAAGAACUCCUUUUCAGUAGUAGCAUAAUUUCUCUGGGCAGUAUCAACAGUUUUACUAGCAUACUCGAUAACAUUCAAUUCCUUAUCGACUCUUUGCCCUAGAACAGCACCUACAUCAUAAUCACUAGCAUCACACAUAAUUUCAAAAGGUAAAUUCCAAUUAGGAGGCUGAACAAUUGGUGCAGUGAUCAAAGCUUUCUUAAGUAUUUCAAAUGCUUCUACACAAUCAUCAUCAAAGACAAAAGGAAUAUCUUUUUGCAAUAAAUUAGUCAGAGGCCUAGAGAUUUUAGAAAAGUCCUUAAUGAACCUCCUAUAAAAACCGGCAUGACCAAGGAAACUUCUUAUACCUUUUAUGUCCUUGGGACAUGGCAUCUUUUCAAUAGCAUCAACUUUAGCUUUAUCAACUUUAAUGCCCCUCUCAGAAAUCUUAUGCCCCAAGACAAUGCCUUCAUUAACCAUAAAGUGGCACUUCUCGCAAUUCAAGACGAGACUAGUGUCUUCGCAACUCUGCAAAACUCGAUCAAGGUUGCUCAAGCAAUCAUCAAAAUAGGAUCCAUAAACGGAGAAAUCAUCCAUGAAUUCCUCACAAAUCUUUUCACAAAAGUCAGAGAAUAUAGCCGUCAUACAUCUUUGAAAGGUAGCAGGUGCAUUACAUAAACCAAAAGGCAUACGUCUAUAAGCAAAAGAACCGAAAGGGCAAGUAAAAGUAGUUUUUGAUUGAUCCUCCGCUGACACAGGUAUUUGAGAGAAACCAGAAUAACCAUCUAGAAAGCAGAAAUGUGUGUGUUUGGAUAGUCUUUCUAGCAUUUGAUCAAUAAAAGGUAAAGGGUAAUGAUCUUUCUUAGUAGCUUUAUUUAAUUUACGGAAAUCAAUUACCAUCCUAUAACCUGUGAUAAUUCUUUGCGGGAUCAAUUCAUCUUUAUCAUUAGGAAUGACAGUAAUACCUCCCUUUUUAGGAACACAAUGGACAUGACUUACCCAUUCACUAUCAGCAACGGGAUAAAUUAUACCUGCCUCAAGGAGCUUUAGUAUCUCCUUUCUUACCACUUCUUUCAUCUUAGGAUUUAAUCAUCGUUGAGGAUCUCUAACUGGGUUGGCAUCUUUCUCCACUUUAAUUUUGUGUUGGCAUAGAGUGGGACUAAUGCCCUUAAGAUCAUCCAGAGUAUAUCCAAUAGCAGCACGAUGCUUCUUCAGAGUUUUCAAUAAUCUUUCUUCUUCUUGCUCUGAAAGGUUAGCACUAAUAAUAACAGGAUAUAUAUUCUUUUCAUCAAGAUAAGCAUACUUAAGAUUAUCAGGUAAUGGUUUGAGCUCAAACAUGGGAUCACCCUUGGGUGGAGGGGGAUCCCCUAGGAUUUGAAUAGGCAAGUUGUGUUUCAGCAUAGGACCCUGUUGAAGGAACACUUCAUCUAUUUCCCUUCUUUCAUUCAUAAACAUAUCAUUUUCAUGGUCUAGCAAAUAUUGUUCUAACAGAUCAGUAGGAGGCACGACAAUAGAAUCAAGACCAAUAAUCUCAUCCUUACUAGGUGAUUCUUUAUCACGGGGUUGUCUACGAAACUUAGUCAUCUUGUGGGGAACCAAGAACAAGAAAAUCAGCAGGAUAUUUAACCUUCCCACACAAGACUUCAACAUCUCUAACAAUCCCAACUGGCUUAAUGGUGUCCCUAUUGGCAAGCUUAAUAGUAUCAUCUAUAUCUUCUAUUUCAGCGGGUGCAAUAUCAUGCAUAAUUUCUUUAUAUAUGUCAUAGGGUAUUGCACUAGCACUAGCACCCAUAUCACAUAAGCCAUGAUAACAAUGAUCUCCUAUUUUAACAGAAAUAACAGGCAUGCCUACAGCCGGUCUAUGUAUCUUAGCAUCUGGUCUAGCAAUGUUAGCAGUCUGUUCACAGAAGUAAAUAACAUGACCAUCUAUAUUAUCAUCCAAGAGAUCUUUAACCAUAGCAAUACUAGGUUCAACUUUGAUUUUCUCAGGAGGUGUAUAAGUUCUAGUAUUACUCUUACGAACAACAGUUGAAGUUUUAGCAUGAUCCUUUAUCCUAACAGGAAAAGGUGGUUUCUCAACAUAACUAGUAGGAACAAUUGGAUCAUUAUAAGUGAUAGUCUUUUCUUCAACUGUAAUAGGUGCAAUUACUUUUACUUCAACGGGAGGAUUAUAUUUAAACCACUUCUCCUUAGGGAGAUCAACAUGAGUAGCAAAAGAUUCACAAAAAGCAGCUACUAUCUCAGAGUCAAGUCCAUACUUAGCGCUAAAUCCACGAAAAGCAUCGGUAUCCAUAAAAGAUUUAACACAAUCAAACUUAGGUAUUAUACCUGACUCCUUACCAUCAUCGGAACCCCAAUCUUCAGAGUUGCAUUUAAUUCUUUCCAAUAAAUCCCACUUGAAUUCAGUAGUCUUCAGCAUAUAAGAACCAACACAGGAAGUAUCAAGCAUGGUGCGAUCAUUGAGAGAAAGCCGAGCAUAAUUUUUUUGAAUAAUCAUUUCUCUUGAGAGAUCAUGAUUGGGGCAUGAAUAUAACAUUGACUUAAGCCUCCGCAAGCUUGAGCGAUGCUUUCUCCUUCAUGAGGCCAGAAAUUAUAUAUGUAAUUAUGAUCACGAUGAACAAGGUGCAUAGGAUAGAACUUCUGGUGAAAUUCCAACUUCAAUCGUUUAUAAUUCCAAGACCCCGUAUCAUCACAUAGCCUAUACCAUGUCAAUGCAUCACCCUUCAAAGAUAAAGGGAAGACCUUCCUUUUGACAACAUCAUCGGGAAUACUUGCAAGCUUAAAUAAUCCACAAAUUUCAUCCACAAAGAUAAGGUGUAAAUCGGGAUGCAACGUUCCAUCUCCUGCAAAGGGAUUAGCUAGCAGUUUCUGUAUCAUACCCGAAGGAAUCUCAAAGUAAACAUUUUCAGUAGGUUCAGUAGGUUGAAGAGAAACUCUUUGCUCUACUGGUCGGGGUGAAGAUACCCCAAACAACCCCCUCAAAGGAUUAGUUUCCAUAGUAACAAGUGACAGAAAAUUUCAGCACACUAUAUAAAUGUUUCCUUACCAACUUCCACUCACCAAAGGCGCUUCACUCCCCGGCAACGACGCUAGAGAAGAGUUUUGAUGAUCCACAAGUAUAGGGGAUCUAUCGUAGUCCUUUCAGUAAGUAAGAGUGUCGAACCCAACGAGGAGCAGAAGGAAAUGACAAGCGGUUUUCAGUAAGGUUUUCUCUGCAAGCACUGAAAUUGUAGGUAACAAAUAGUUUUGUGAUAAGAUAAUUUGUAACGGGUAACAAGCAAUGAAAGUAAAUAAAGUGCAGCAAGGUGGCCCAAUCCUUUUUGUAGCAAUGGACAGGCCUGGACAAUUUCUUAUAAUGAGAAAAGCGCUCCCAAGGACACAUGGGAAUUAUCAUCAAGCUAGUUUUCAUCACGCUCAUAUGAGUCGCGGUACUUCGAUAAUUUGAUAUGUGGGUGGACCGGUGCUUGGGUACUGCCCUUACUUGGACAAGAAUCCCACUUAUGAUUAACCCCUAUUGCAAGCAUCCGCAACUACAAAAGAAGUAUUAAGGUAAACCUAACCACAGCAUUAGACAUAUGGAUCCAAAUCAGCCCCUUACGAAGCAAUGCAUAAACUCGGGUUUAAGCUUCUGUCACUCUAGCAACCCAUCAUCUACUUAUUACUUCCCAAUGCCUUCCUCUAGGCCCAAAUAAUGGUGAAGUGUCAUGAAGUCGACGUUCACAUAACACCACUAGAGGAGAGACAACAUACAUCUCAUCAAAAUAUCGAAUGAAUACCAAAUUCACAUGACUACUAAUAGCAAGACUUCACCCAUGUCCUCAGGAACAAACGUAACUACUCACAAAGCAUAUGCAUGUUCAAAAUCAGAGGAGUAUUAAUAUGCAUUAAGGAUCUGAACAUAUGAUCUUCCACCAAGUAAACCAAUUAGCAUCAACUACAAGGAGUAAUCAACACUACUAGCAACCCACAGGUACCAAUUUGUGGUUUUGAUACAAGAUUGGAUACAAGAGAUGAACUAGGGUUUUGAGAGGAGAUGGUGCUGGUGAAGAUGUUGAUGGAGAUUGACCCCCUCCUGAUGAGAGGAUCGUUGGUGAUGACGAUGGUGAUGAUUUCCCCCUUCCCGAUGGAAGUUUCCCCGGCAGAACAGCUCCGCCGGAGCCCUAGAUUGGUUCCGCCAAGGUUCCGCCUCGUGGCGGCGGAGUUUCGUCCCGUAAGCUUGCUUAUGAUUUUUUUCCAGGGUAAAAGCCUUCAUAUAGCAGAAGAUGGGCACCGGAGGGCCACCAGUGGGCCCAAGAGACAGGGGGGCGUGCCCAGUAGGGGUGGGUGCGCUCCCCACCCUCUUGGCCAGGGUGUGGGCCCCCUCUGAUGUUUUCUUCGCUCAAUAAAUCUUAUUAAUUCCAAAAAUAAGUUCUGUGGAGUUUCAGGAUUUUCGGAGCUGUGUAGAAUAGGUUUCCAAUAUUUGCUCCUUUUCCAGCUAGAAUUCCAGCUGCCGGCAUUCCCCCUCUUCAUGGUAAACCUUGUAAAAUAAGAGAGAAUACCCAUAAGUAUUGAGACAUAAUGUGUAAUAACAGCCCAUACUGCAAUAAAUAUUUAUAUAAAAGCAUGAUGCAAAAUGGACGUAUCAGAGCAGCUUGACGGAUUAGUGGUAUUUGACGAACGUCUUCCCAAGGAGGAUGGAAUGCGAAUAACUUGGCGAACCGGGUAUGGAUCUUUUGAUAGUUAAACCAUUUAGUCACCCAGUGUCUUCGAAUCCAUUGAUGGCAACAUUCUCUUUUAGCCUUUGUUGCACUAGGCUUGGUAUUGUAUUCAUCAUGAGAUAUCAUCUCAGCCAAGUUUUGGAUCGGUUUUCUGCUACCUUUUCUUUUCUUCGGAAGCUCUUGAUUUAGCUCGCUUGGCUCUCCUUCAUCACACUUUCUCUUUGCAGGCCCUACCGUUGGGGCCUUUGCAUUAGGUGCCUUGGAUUCAUCUCCUAUGCCCAGCACAAUAUCAUCGCCUUCAGCUCGAAUAGUUGGAUGAGCUGAAUCUACCAUAGACUACAUGUACCUGGGAACAAGAUAUAAAUGCGAGGAAAAAAAAUCGAGUUACAAAUGCACACAGUGUUUUUUGAAGAGAAUGACUUUUCCAUCGAAAGGGGAUCUGGGAUUUUGAGAGAUGCGAGGAACAACUACACACCACAUCUGUAAAGGUUUCUAAACCUAACAGAUCUAAAAAUACAGUGGUAAUUCAUGCAAAAAACUACGGCGGUAGAACUCCAACGGCUUGGAUGGAAGGUCGAGUUCGUGUUGCUCAUAUCCUAGCUUGGUGAUGUGCAGCGACUAGGGCGACGCGGAGAAGGAGAUGGGCCGCAGCGGCUUUGGAUGACUCCGAUGUCCACUCUCCAGCAGCGAAGCGGUGGAGCAGGUGAUGGCGUCGAUGAGCUCGAUGGUGUGUAGUACGGAAAGCUUUCGCGAGAGGGAGGAAGGAGGCGAGUGAAUGGCAUCGAUAUGGUUGAGACAAAUUUUAUAGAGGGGGCGUAGAUCAGAUUGGACGGCCAUGAAAGCCAGAUGGUUCCCAUUCAAUGGUGAGAGAAAUCGAGUAGUUGUACUGAGGCAUGUGGCUACCAUCAAAAGAACGUGGUCCUCCUUAAGGCGGGAAAACCUAAAUUUGGACAGCAUACGCCAAAAAGAUAAAGUUCGGUCCGAGCCUUUUCCGUGAACAAGGAUAUCAGGAAAGCUUUUGGAACCAGAUAAAGGUUGUGCAUUCAUAACAGAGUUGCGAGAAGACCAAAUGGAACCAGAGUCAAACAACUCGAAGAGAAACUCCAUAAACACCAGCUCAAAUGAAAAUCAAUGGAUGAAGAAAAAUGGUGGUGGCAUUACCCACCGUAUAAGAACUGUAUGACCCUGAGCAUCGCACAAUUAUCGUGGCACCUGGUUAGUCUAGUUCUUCGUUAAUGUAUUCACUCUCCGAAAGAAAAUUUCACUUUGUUGAAUUUUUCAAACUCGUCGAGUGUUGUGCACCCAUUCCUUCAUAGAUGUGGAAGUGUUGGCCUGGGUGCCGAGUCCAGCUUACUGCAUGUUUGCGGAGUCCAAGAUAUUUAGCUCACACCAUAAUGCAUGGAAUCUUUUCUCAUCGAGAGGCUCGGUGAAAAUAUCUGCAAGAUUGUCUUCUGUCUUGACGUGCUCAAUAACAAUAUCCUCUCGAGCAACAUGAUCACGAAUGAAAUGAUACCUGACUUGAAUGUGCUUGCUACGAGAAUGCUGAACUGGAUUUUUAGCAAUCUUGAUCGCACUCUCAUUGUCAUAGAGGAGAGGGAUAUUCCUGACCUUGAUGCCAAAAUCCUUCAGUGUCUGCUUCAUCCAUAGUAACUGAAUACAACAAGCACCGGCAACAAUAUAUUUGGCCUCAGCCAUAGACAAUGAAACACAGUUUUGCUUCCUUGAAACCAACACACAAAAGAUCUACCGAGGAAAUGGCAUUUACCCGAAGUAGAUUUCCUGUCCACACGGUCACCUGCACAAUCUGAGUCUAAAUAGCCAAUGAGAUCAAACUGUGCUCCCUUAGGAUACCAUAAACCUAAGGUGGGGGUGUGAGCCAAAUAUCUCAGAAUAUGCUUGACCGCUUUGUGAUGUGAUUCCUUUGGUGCAGCUUGGAAAUGAGCACACAUGUAGACACUCAACAUGAUAUUAGGUCUGGAUGCACAUAUGUAAAUCAAAGAUCCAAUCAUCGAGCGAUAAGUUUUCUGAUAAAAAUCUUUACCAAACACAUUGGAAUCAAGUUGACCAUUUAUGGGCAUUGGACUUUUGUAGCCCUUCUGAUUGCAGUCCCGCAUUUUAAACUUCUUCAGGCAAUCUCAAAUAUAUUUAUCCUGAGAGAAGAAUGUGCCAUUUUCCUGUUGACGAAUUUGGAGUCCGAGGAAAAACUUGAGUUCCCCCAUCAUGGACAUUUGAUAUUUUUCGGACAUCAUUCAUCCAAACUCCAUGCUGCAAGCAUUGUUAGUACAACCAAAUAUGAUAUCGUCCACAUAUAUUUGACACAUGAAUGAAACACCAUCAACAAUGCGUGUGAAUAGAGUGGAGUUCGUGGUCCUGGCUUGAAUCCCUUAUCGAGCAAAAACUUCUUCAGGGUGUCAUACCAAGCACGAGGGGCUUGUUUGAGACCAUAAAGAGAUUUCUUCAACCUGAAAACUUUGUUAGGGAAUUGAGGGUGUUCAAAGCUAGGUGGAUGUCUAGUAUAAACUUCCUCUUCAAUCACACCAAUUAGAAAAGCACUUUUCACAUCCAUUUGGUAAAGCAAGAUAUUGUUGUAGUUUGCAUAGGCGAGCAAAAUACGAAUUGCCUCAAGGCAUGGAACAGGAGCAUAAGUUUCUCGAAAAUCAAUACCAGCUACUUGUGUGUGCCCUUGAGCAACCAAACUAGCUUUGUUUCUCACCACAAUGCCAUCUUCAUCCUGCUUGUUGCAGAAAAUCCACUUUGUGCCAAUAAUAUUGUGCUUCUUGGGGUUAGGUCGAUCGACCAAUUCCCACACAUCAUUUAGUUCAAAUUGCACCAACUCCUCUUGCAUGGCAUUCAUCUAAUCUGGAUCAUUCAUGGCAUCUUUGUAUCUUGUGGGUUCUGGAAGAGUGGCGAAGGACAAACUGGCACAAUGGUUAGCCAAACGAGUGAGUGAACGAGUUGUUGGUCGAUGACCUGAAUUCUCGAGAUCUUCGAGAAUAAGAUUUGUAUCAACUCGAUUUGCUACUUGAGGAAGAACGUGGACAUUUGCAUCAGUUUCUUCAUUUUCCUCGGCUUCUUCAUCAGGAUUGGUAUUUUAGAUCGCCAUUUGCAUUCUGGGUCGGAGGAGCAUCAGGAGUAGCAUUGUCUUGCCGUGUUCUUCGUUGAAUGACUGGAGCAUCUUCAUUGGAAGAAUCAUGAGUAUCUUCAUCAGAAGAAUCAUGAGCAUUUACCUCGACGGGUCGGACAUCCCCGAUGGCCAUUUGCUAGAUUGCUUCCAAGACGGAUGGUUCAUCUAUCACAUUUGGCAGGUGCUCCUUUUGGGAACUGUUAGAUUCGCUGAACCGCACAUUUACCGUUUCCAUAACUUUCCCAUGAUGAGAAUUAUAGACCUGAUAAGUAUGCGAGUUCAAGCCAUAACCAAGAAGAAAACCUUCGAGUGCUUUGGGUGCAAACUUAGAACCGUGAUUCAUAUCACGAAUAUAACAGGGUGCACCAAAAACACGCAUAUAAGAAACAUUCCAUAUCUUGCCAGUGAUAAGCUCAUAACAAGUUUCCUUCAGGAACUUGUGAAGAUAAACACGAUUCAUAACAUGGCAGGCAGUGUUAAUAGCUUCAACCCAAAAGUGAAUGGGAGUUUUGUACUCACUGAGCAUUGUUCGAGCCAUUUCAAUGAGAGUUCUAUUCUUUCGCUCAACAACUCCAUUCUGUUGGGGAGUAUAGGCAGUAGAGGACUCAUGAGUAAUACCAUGCUCGUCGGGGAAUUCUCAAUAUGAGUAUUUUUGAACUCAGUGCCAUUAUCACUUCGGACAUGCUUAAUGUGCACAUCAUAUUCAUUCUGGGCCUUCUUGGUGAAUCUUUUGAAGAUGUCUUGGGUACAUGUUUUGUCUUCGAGAAAGAAUACCCAAGUAUACAGAGAGAUAUCAUCAACAAUAACCAGACCAUAAUGACUGCCACCGAAGAUGGAGUAGUUCUGUGGCCCGAAAAAUCCAUAUGACGAAUUUCCAGAGGCCUUGUAGUAGUCAUGAUAGUUUUUGAUGAGUGAUGCUUCUUGGCCAAUUUUCCUGCCUCACAAGCACUACAAAGACGAUCCUUGUUUAAUUUCACCUCGGGAAUACCACACAGAUGAUUUUUCUUCACAAGAGUCUGCAAGUUCCUCACACCCGCAUGGCCAAGUCUGUGGUGCCACAGCCAACCCUUAGUUGCUUUAGCUAGCAAGCAAGUUUGGACUAUGGGACCCUUAGAGAAAUCCACAAUAUACAAAUCACCCUUUCUAAUUCCCUUGAAAACGAAGGAAUUGUCAGAAGCCAUAAACACAAUGCACUUGGAGAUUGAAAAUAGAACAAGCGUGCCAAGAUCACAUAGUUUACCAGCUGACAUGAUGUUGAAUCCAAGAGACUGAACAAGUAACAUCAUCGAUGCUCUUGUCUUUGGAUAUGGAAACUUUACCUAGCCCCAUUACCUUUCCUUUGUUGUUGUCGCCGAAAGUAAUAUACUUCUGAGAAGAAGGAGUAAGGUUGGGGUCAACAAACAACGACUUGUCUCCGGUCAUAUGACUAGUGCAUCCACUAUCCAUGAUCCACUCAGUACACUUAGAGACAUAGUCCUGAAAGAAAAUCAAGCUUUCUUAACCACCCACAUCUUUAUAGGUGGCUUCAAAACAUAUGAGCGAGCUAGAUAUGAAUUCUUUCGGAAAAUACGUGAGUUGCUACCAAAGUGAGCACGAGAGUAAUCAUUUGAAUAAGCAUUGAAAUCUCGUCUAGAUGAAUGAGUGUAAUGGUUUGAUGAGGUAUGCAUGUAUUCAUUCCGUAGAACUCAUUCACGUAUGUGGCAAGUAUUUUCUUCCUGCAUGGUUAGAAGAGCUUUCAUAGAUAAUGCCUCGAUGGUUUUCUGCAGUUAGGUCCAUUCCUGCAGUUAGGUCCAACAUAGCGAGCAACAACCUCAUCACAUUGGUUUUUGAACAACUUAUAGUUGUCCAGAGAAUCAUUGGAAGCAUACUCAAGAAUGGGACAAUUGGAUCCUGAUAGUAAUGCAGGUGUUGGGUAGAAACCGAUCACCUGGAGCCCCUCGGCCCCUUUGUGGUUUGGCAUGGGGGAGGUCACGUUGCACAAAGAGCGGAGGCCAUGGAGCAACACAAUGGCGAUGACAUAGGCGAUUUUUACCCAGGUUCGGGCCGCUGUGAAGCGUAAAACCCUACUCCUACUUUGGUGGAUGGAGUGGAAGAAGGCAACGGGCGUGGGAUGCAAGUCCCCGGGAAGGUGGCCUCGGGAGUGCAGCCGCGCACGUACAAUGUAUGGGGUUUUGGUGUGGCCAAGUCGAGCCCGUGAGAGGAUCGAACCCUUUGAUAGGUUGCCUUGGACCUCCUUUUAUAGCUCAAGGGGUGACCACAAUGGCAAAAUAGUCAUUAUCCUGCGAUUAGAUAGCAAACAGUGCUAUCAUACCUAACUCUAGGAGUGAGGACAAAGUGCAUUAAAUGCACUAUUAGGUGUCUUGCUAUGGAUGAAGCCCGACAAGCCUGCUGCGCCGCCGAACCCAGCUUUUCUUACUAUCUUGACACACCUCUGGAUGGGUGUCAAGAGGGCAUGAUCUAUCUUCCAUCUGGCCGCCAUGCGCCUACGGUGGCCACUUAAUCACUUGGGGGCUCAACACUUCACUGAUUAUUGACUUGCGUCACUGUUCGGUGGAGCGGUGGAGCCAUGGUGUAUUGGCGGGGAGCUUGGUCUUGGUUGCCCCGACAAGCCUGUUGGGGCCAAUCUUUGGCUUGCUCCCGGGGCAGCUGAGGGAGUCCUGGACUAGGGGGUGUCCGGAUAGCCGAACUAUCUCCGUCGGCCGGACUCCAAGACUAUGAAGAUGCAAGAUUGAAGACUCCGUCCCGUGUCCGGAUGGGACUUUCCUUGGCGUGGAAGGCAAGCUUGGCGAUACGGAUAUGUAGAUCUCCUACCAUUGUAACCGACUCUGUGUAACCCUAGCCCUCUCCGGUGUCUAUAUAAACCGGAGGGUUUUAGUCCGUAGGACGAACAACAAUCAUACCAUAGGCUAGCUUCUAGGGUUUAGCCUCCUUGAUCUCGUGGUAGAUCUACUCUUGUAGUACCCAUAUCAUCAAUAUUAAUCAAGCAGGAUAGGGUUUUACCUCCACCGAGAGGGCCCGAACCUGGGUAAAAACAUCGUGUCCCUCGUCUCCUGUUACCAUCCGCCUAGACGCACAGUUCGGGACCCCCUACCCGAGAUCCGCCGGUUUUGACACUGACAUUGGUGCUUUCAUUGAGAGUUCCUCUGUGUCGUUGUCUAUACGCCCGGUGGCUCCUUCGAUCAUCAACAACAACACGGUCCAGGGUGAGACUUUUCUCCCCGGACAGAUCUUCGUAUUCGGCGGCUUUGCACUGCGGGCCAAUUCACUUGGCCGUCUGGAGCAGAUCGAAAGCUACGCCCCUGGCCAUCAAGUCAGAUUCGAAAGUUUGAACUAUAUGGCCGACAUCCGCGGGGACUUGAUCUUCGACGGAUUCGAGCCACAACCGAGAGUGCCGCACUGUCACGAUGGGCAUGAUUUAGCUCUUCUCCCGGACAGUGCCCUGAAGGCUGCACAAGAGUCCGCUCCGACCCUUAGCUCGGAGCCGACUGCGCCGAUCGAGGACGGGUGGCUGGACACCGCCUCGGGGGCUGCCACCUCUACGAUGAUAGAGCCGAAUACCAACCCUGUCCUUCGCAAAGGCCAUGACUCCGAGGUGCCAGACUCCUCUCCAGACUUCGAACCUCCCGCGCCCCUGCCAAUCGAAUCCGAUUGGGCGCCGAUCAUGUAGUUCACUGCCGCGGACAUCUUUCAGCGCUCGCCUUUUGGCGACAUGCUGAAUUCGCUAAAGUGUCUCUCUUUAUCAGGAGAGCCCUGCCGAAUUAUGGUCAGGACGGUUGGGAUGCGGACGAUGAAGAAAUUCAAUGCCUGCCCACCACCCACUUUGUAGCCACUGUCGAUGACUUAACCGACAUGCUAGACUUCGACUCCGAAGACAUCAACGGUAUGGACGAUGAUGCCGGAGACGACCAAGAACCAGCGCCUGCAGGGCACUGGAAAGCCACCUCAACUCAUGACGUAUACAUGGUGGAUACACCUAAAGGAAGCGAUAACAAGGAACAACGGGACGCCGCAAAGGAUAAUUCCCUCGAAAAGCAGUCAAAAUGGCGACGUAAGCGCCGCUCAAAGCCCCGCCUUGACAAAGACAACACGCAUGCAGACCCAGCCAUAGAGCAGGACGAACCGGUGGACGACGAACACGCUCUCGGGCAACCAUCCGAACAGGAUAGCUUGGAUAAACAAUCCGUCCCCGGCGAAAACAACAGUCCAGACGAUCUUACGCCGGACACAUAUUUGGAGCAGAAGAACCUCCACAAAAGGCUAGUCGCCACUGCACGAAGUCUGAAGAAGCAGAAGCGGAAGCUCAAAACAGUGGAAGACACACUCAGAAUGAGAUGGAGCAAGGUACUCAACACCGCAGACAAACACGACGAUAGUCGCCAAACGAAGAGCUACCCAAAGCGCAAACUACUGCCUGAAUUUGACGAGGAGGCCGUAGAGCCGCCACGAUCAAAGAACAAAGAGGCCGCCCGGUCGAAUAGACGACCACACAACAAACAAAGAGGGGCAAGCGGCGCCGCACACAAGUCGGUAUGCGAUCCGCAUAAGGAUCCGUGCCAAAAGGAUGGCCCAGUGAGGUCUAUCUAUGGGCCAAGAAAGCAGGCUCUAAAAAGCAAUACAACACGUCGAAUAUUCGAACAUCACGACACACCCAAAUACAGGGGCGCCGCUCACCCCCUAUGUUUCACCGAUGAGGUGCUGGAUCAUGAAUUUCCAGCAGGAUUCAAGCCCGUAAACAUAGAGGCAUACGACGGAACAACAGACCCUGGAGUCUGGAUUGAGGGUUACAUCCUGCAAAUACAUAUGGCUAGAGGAGAUGACCUCCACGCCAUAAAAUACUUACCCCUCAAGCUCAAAGGGCCAGCCCGGCACUGGCUCAAAAGCCUCCCAGAAAAUACCAUCGGAAGUUGGGAAGAGCUUGAGGAUGCGUUUCGGGCAAAUUUUCAGGGGACCUAUGUCCGCCCUCCGGAUGCGGACGAUUAAAGUCACAUAACUCAACAGCCCGGAGAGUCAGCCCACAAAUUCUGGAAUAGGUUCCUCACCAAAAAGAACCAAAUAGUCGACUGUCCGGACGCCGAGGCCUUAGCAGCUUUCAAACAUAACGUCCGAGACGAAUGGCUCACCAGACACCUCGGCCAAGAAAAGCCAAGAACAAUGGCCGCACUAACAAGCCUCAUGACCCGCUUUUGCGCGGGGGAGGAUAGCUGGCUGGCAAGAUGUAGCACCAGCGACCCAAGUACAUCCGAGGUCAGGGAUGGAAAUGGGAAACCACGACGCAGCAAGGACCAGCGCCGGACUAAGGGAAAUGGUCCGAAUAGCACGACAGUCAACGUCGGAUUCAAAAGCUCUCGACAGAACAACAAAAACCUGCCUCUCAAGGACAACAACGACGAGCUAUCCAACCUAAACAAAAUCUUGGACAAGAUAUGCCAAAUCCACAGUACCUCCGGGAAGCCUGCAAACCAUACCCACAGAGAUUGUUGGGUCUUCAAACAAUCUGGCCGACUUAACGCCAAACACAAGGGGCUCGGCGCACCAAGUGAGGACGAUGACGAACCCCACAAGCAGAGCUACGGGAAACAAAAGAAUUUCCCACAAGAGGUCAAAAUAGUAAACUCACUUCAAGUGAUGACAGGGAAAAAUAGAGAGACGCCCAUUAAAGUACGCGCCGCACGGUCUACCCCAACGGAGUCCCAACACUGGUUGUCAAAACCAAUCACCUUCGACCAUCAGGACUACUCCGGAAGUAUCCGGAAUGCGGGAUGGACUGCUUUGAUAUUAGACCCUAUAAUCGACGGACUACAAUUCACACAAGUCCUAAUGGACGGCGGCAGUGAUCUAAACCUGUUAUAUCAGGACACAAUCCGCAGAAUGGGGAUAGACCCAAUCCAAAUUCGCCAUAGCAACACUUCCUUUAAAGGAGUAAUGCCAGGCCCAUAUGCCCAUUGUACGGGCUCUCUACUACUAGAAGUUGUGUUCGGCCCAUCCGACAACUUCCGUCGCGAAAAGUUGGUCUUCCACAUCGCCCCAUUUAAAAGUAGCUAUCAAGCACUAUUGGGACGCGAAGCUUUCGCCCGCUUUAACGCAAUAUCACAUUAUGCAUCUCUUACACUUAAAAUGCCCGGUCCACGCGGCAUCAUCUCAUUAAAAGGAAACUUGGAGUGUUGCUCGAAUACGGAAGAACGUGAUACUGCCUUGACAGCCACACCUUAAUCCGGCCUUGCUGAUCAGAGCACCUAAACAGGUCAUCGAGACCCCGGACACGGUUAGGCGAGUCCGGCAUAAAUAAACAAGGGGCUUACUAGCCACGCACCCCCUUACAAGGGGCUGCACGCAUAUACAAUAAAGAGCCAAUAAAGCUCAAUUUUAUUUUUUCGAAUCAUACUCUGUUUAUUUUAACAAUACAUUUUUUGCAUGAUCUUUUUUCAAACUAAGUUCUUCUCUUUUACAUAUGAACACCAUGCUACACCCGUCCAGGAUACGGCACAACGGAGACACAGGUGCAGACGUGUAGUAGGGACCCGUUGGAAGGAUUCUUUUCAGAUUAAGACCAUGCGUAAACCUUUUUUACUAUCUCUUGUUGAUACACAUCCCCUGGUUUCUCGAUACAACCGAGGAGGAGGCUGGCGUUUUGGCAUCGGCCGCGUCAGAAAUUUUUGCGCGUACCUGGACACUAGGGGCUUAGGGCAUUGUUUUGCCCGUUUUCAUAAAGACCGAAUACCUUAGGGAGUGUUCGGUGUCUCGAGUUAGGCCUUAUAUGCAUCAGCUCCGAAUCAUGUCUUUGGACAAAUGUUGGGUUUGCCCGGCUCCUGUGUUUUGCUGCCUUACAUUCCGCUCUAUCGGCUAACGGGGCACCAGGAGAACUACUGCGAUUGUGCCCCUGUUCGUCUAGGUGAGCACCUCAGUAGAGAAAGCCAAAAACUGACUGUCAUGAUAUAGCGAGAGAUUGGUCAACCACUCGAUCGACCACCGGAAUGUUUAGAAUUCCUCCGCUUUGACGAAGGACCGUUUCCCGGUCAGGCACAUACGCUCCCCAAAUUCGGAGAGCGCGGUGCCCCUGGGGGCUAUAUAGUAGCCCCACCAUCGAACUCCUAUGGCUAAGUGAAAGUGAUAAAGCAUUAUAGUCCAGUUGCCUAGUUUGCUACGCUAUAACCUCCUUGACAGGACCAAGACGUUGGAUUAAGUGUGAAAAUGUGCUUUUUUUGCAAACACCCCCGCACUAUGUGCGUGGGGGCUGAAGCCAAAGACUGCCAUCUUUCAGGUUAUAUACACAUAUACAUUAAUGGCCGCACAGGAGGUAUUUCAAUACUUGAAUGCACAAGUAUAAAAAGCCCUUAUAUUAUAUAUUUGGAACAUGGUUUCACAAAUCAUACAUGUCAUUUGAACAUAAUAUUCUUCGAGCACUGCGUCUCUAUUAAACGAGCGCCCUGUAGGACUUCCUCAAAAUAGUGCUCGGCAGGUACUCGGCUUCGGUCCGAAUCCGGGGAUGCAACGUCGGUGGCCUUCAUCUCUGCCCAGUAUGUUUUGACGCGGGCAAGAGCCAUCCGCGCACCCUCUAUGCAUGCCGACCGCUUCAUUGCAUGGAUAUGCGGCACCGCAUCAAGGAACUGCUGCACCAAGCCAAAAUAACUCUUCGGCUCGGGCCUUUUCGGCCACAAAUGAGCCACGACAUACUUCAUGGCAAGUCCGGACAACCUAUCCAGCUCAGCCCAUUCGGCCAACAGAUCGGUUAAUGGAAGGGGACGCGCUGGACUAUGGAACUGCAACCAAAAAAGCUCUUCCAUUCCGUGAUCCUUUUGGCCUCGGAAGUGUGCGACCGCAUCUGUGGCACUCGCCGCCAAAUCCAGAUAAGCAUCCUCCGCACCCCAUAGCUGGCCCAACUGGGCAUACUUCGGAUCCGUGAACUUCCUCCACAGCAGGAAGGGCUUUCCAGCCGCGAUAUCCCCGGCUUGACGUCGCUCCUCCUUUAUCGCUCUCAUCGCGGAGCGGGCAUCCUUGGCUUCGGCGGUGGCCUUCUUCAGGUCCUCUUGCUCAGCUCGGCUUUCUUUUUCAAGAAACUCGCAGCGGUCGGUAGCAUUCUUCAACUUCACGGCCAUCUCGGCCAUCUCCUCCCUGCUUCGGCAGUGAGCAGCCUGUUCGGCUUUUAACUCUUCGUCCGCCUUCAAGGCAACCGCAUUACUUUUUCUGGCUAGCUCCUUGGCCCGGGCGAGCUCUGCCCGAAGGUCCUCCAUAGCAGCGGCACCAUCUGCAUUAAGCAUACAUGUUCUUAGGCACGGGCGUCAAGCUCCCUUAGCAGGUGUCCGCGGAAAAGCCGCAUACCUUGUGACUCGUCAAGUCGCUUAUUGACCAGCGUGAUGUCCGCAUCCGCAACGUCAAGUUGCCGCUUCAGUUCGGCAAAUCCAUCAGUCCGGCUGGCCACCGAACGCUCCGCCACCUAUAUAGGAAAGGCGACAUCUUACACCUCAGAUUAUGAUCCUCGGCACGCUGUCACUUUUGACAACGUACCGAGUCUUAGGGGUACUAUCUAUACAGGGCGCAUUUUAUAUGCAAAAAUGUCAGAAGGUAUAUCAUUUUCGCGUACCUCAAACCCCGUCAGUAAACUUCUGACGGCUUCAUGCAAUCUGCUCUCAGCGGAUGAAAUCCUUUCAAUCACCGUACCCAUUAACGCACGAUGAUCUUCUGAGAUAGACGCUCGCCCGAGCAGAUCCUUCAGCUCCUCCGACCGUACACCAGUUGGUGCCGGACCUUCCGGCCCCGCCGGACUCGGGGAAACCCUCCGCGACGACACCUCAGGGUCAUCCGCCCCGCCUGACGGUGCGGCAGAUGGAGGCGUUUCGCUCUCCAUCAUCUCCAGAUGAAGAUCCCCCGAAGACGAGCUCUGCUGAGAAGGGCUGAGAUCCGAACUACAAGGUAAAACUUCAGUUAUCCUCAGAGAUAAAAACGGGGAUGUCCCUUAUUACAAAGCUCCCCGUUCUACUUACGACUCGCUGGAGGGCUGAUUCCCUUGGGGAAGUGGUGCGGCCGGGGCUUCUCCUGGCACAGGACCCUCUGGUGAAGAUUUUCUCCCCUGCUUUGAGGCCUUGGCCUCGGGAUCUUCAGAAGCGGUCCUCUUCUCCCCUUGGAGGGAGGUAUUCUCGAUCCCCCCUUUCAUGAAAACCUCCUUAGUGGAGGCAGUAGCUCCCUUGUUCCCCCCUUCGCCCUUUUCCAAAGGCGCAGCCUCCAGCAUCUUGGUUAACACAGGAUCCGGCAUGAUCUUAGGGAGGGGGGCCAGACACCUUAUUAGUUUUGCUUUUGCUAUCCACUCCUGUUCAAGGGACGGCUCUUUAAAGGGCAAGUUUAUGAUAAAUGUACGGAUAGCAUGUCCGGGCAUAGGACUACUUACUGGAGUAUCUGGGCGAUUGCAGCUCGGACCUGUGUCCUCGGUCAAGUCCGGACACAUCUCUUGUGAUCCAAAGAACAAUUUAUACAUCUCCAUGGGCGUCGAGCCCAUGAAGUGUUGGAGAGCUCGUGGUCCCUCCGGAUUGAAUUCCCACAGGCGGAGGGGGCGACGUUUGCAGGGCAGAAGGCACCGAAUCAGCAUGACCUGCGCCACUACAACCAGAUCGAUCUCACUCUCUUGGAGGUCUCGAAUACGGCCCUGCAACAGAGGUACGUCCUUGGAUGGCCCCCAGUCAAGCCCUUUGUUGACCCAUGACACCAGCCGUUGUGGAGGACCCGAGCAAAAGAUAGGUGGCUCCACCCAUCUGGUGCCCCUGGGAGCGGUGAUGUAGAACCACUCCUGUUGCCACAAAGCAAGUUCCUCUUGAAAAGAGCCCUCGGGCCAUGGAGCGUCAGCACUUUUGCUUAUAACAGCCCCUCUGCACUCUACCUGCUGCCCCCCGAUCAUCUUCGGCUCCACAUUGAAGGUCUUGAGCCACAAUCCAAAGUGAGGGGUAAUGCGGAGGAAGGCUUCGCAUACGACAAUGAACGAUGAGAUGUGGAGGAUGGACUCCGGAUCCAAGUCGUGGAAUUCCAGCCCAUAAUAAAACAUGAGCCCCCUCACGAAGGGGUCCGUCGGGAAGCCUAAGCCCCGAAGAAAGUGAGACACGAACACCACGCUCUCACCAGGCUCGGGAGUAGGAAUAACCUGCACUUGGGCAGGCAACCUAUGCGAAAUUUCGCCGGUUAGGUACCUGGCGUCUCUCAGCUUUAGCACGUCUUCUUCCGUGAUGGAAGAAGGCAACCAUCGGCCUUGCAGGUCGGAGCCGGACAUCGUUGAAGGUCUGAAGCGCCCGGAUCUAGAGCUUUGGGUGUUGGAACUCGAGGCGAGGGGCGGAUCCGAUUGAGGUUGCAAGAAAGGAGUAGGCCUUGGUCUCGUUAUAAAGAGGGUGAAUACCAAGAGCCCUCCCCGUGGCCGUUUAGGACUCACCCUCGAUGUAGGGGGCAUGCCAACGGGCGCGGUUGGGUUACCCAUGCCCGUAUUGAUGACGAUCCCGGAAUAAGGGGACACGAUCUCUGCUUUGACAAGACGUGCCAAGGAAACCGCUUCGCUAAACGCGCUGAGGUGGAACAGUAAAAACAAUUCAAAUAAAGGCUUGGCCGUGGUGUGAUGUCACGCCACGAAAUACGUCAGCAGAUUGAACUUGUGUAAAUAUUAUUCUCUCUAUGGCGGUAUGUGGAAUUUAUUUUGCAGAGUCGGACACUAUCCUGGUGUUCAAAAUCUUCUAUGAAUUAUUCGGAGGAGGAACCCGCCUUGCAAUGCUGAAGACAAUAUGCGCGCCGGACUUAUCGUCAUUGAAGCCUGGUUCAGGGGCGACUGAGGGAGUCCUGGACUAGGGGGUGUCCGGAUAGCCGAACUAUCAUCAUCGGCCGGACUCCAAGACUAUGUAGAUGCAAGAUUGAAGACUCCGUCCCGUGUUCGGAUGGGACCGUCCUUGGCGUGGAAGGCAAGCUUGGCAAUACGGAUAUGUAGAUGUCCUACCAUUGUAACCGACUCUGUGUAACCCUAGCCCUCUCCGGUGUCUAUAUAAACCGAAGGGUUUUAGUCCGUAGGACGAACAACAAUCAUACCAUAGGCUAGCUUCUAGGGUUUAGCCUCCUUGAUCUCGUGGUAGAUCUACUCUUGUACUACCCAUAUCAUCAAUAUUAAUCAAGCAGGAGUAGGGUUUUACCUCCACCGAGAGGGCCCGAACCUGGGUAAAACCAUCGUGUCCCUCGUCUCCUGUUACCAUCCGCCUAGACGUACGGUUCAGGAUCCCCUACCCGAGAUCCACCGGUUUUGACACCGACAGCAGCCUUGAUACGUCUCCAACGUAUCUAUAAUUUUUGAUUGUUCCAUGCUUUUAUAUUAUCAGUCUUCGAUGUUUUAUAAUCAUUUUAUAGUUAUUUUAUAUCAUUUUUGGUACUAACCUAUUGACAUAGUGCCAAGUACCAGUUGUUAUUUUCUGCAUGUUUUUUACAUCACAGGAAAUCAAUACCAACUGGAUUCCAAACGUAGCGAAACUUUUUGGAGAUUUUUUUGGGCCAGAAUACAUCCAGUGGGAUGAAGAAGCACCUGGGGGCUGCUCCGAGGGGAGCACAACCCACCAGGGCGCGCCUGGAGGCCUAGGCGCGCCCUGGUGGGUUGUGCCCACCUCGGGUGCCCCCCGGACCGCCUCUUCACUCUAUAAAUACCCUAAUAUUCCAAAAACCCUAGGGGAGUCGACAAAAAUCAAUUCCAGCCACUGCAGAGUCCGGAACCACCAGAUCCAAUCUAGACACCAUCACGGAGGGGUUCACCACUUCCAUUGCCGCCUCUCCGAUGAUGUGUGAGUAGUUCUUUGUAAGACUUUAGGACCGUAGUUAGUAGCUAGAUGGCUUCCUCUCUCUCGUUUGAUUCUCAAUAGAAUGGUCUCUUGGAGAUCCAUAUGAUGUAACUCUUUUUGCGGUGUGUUUGUUGGGAUCGGAUGACCUUUGAGUUUAUGAUCGGAUUUAUCUUUUUAUCCAUGAAAGUUAUUUGAGUUUCUUUGAUCUCUUAUAUGAAAUAUUGCUUAUAGCCUCGUAUUUCUUCUCUGAUAUUGGGUUUUGUUUGGCCAAAUUCAUCUAUUUAUCUUGCAAUGGGAAGAGGUGCUUUGUAGUGGGUUCGAUCUUAUGGUGCUUGAUCCUAGUGACAGAAGGGGAACCAACGUGUAUUUAUCGUUGCUACUAAGGAUAAAAUGAUGAGGUCUAUUUCUACAUAAAUAGAUCUUGUCUACAUCAUGUCAUCGUUCUUAUUGCAUUACUCCGUUUCUCCAUGAACUUAAUACACUAGAUGCAUGCUGGAUAGCGGUCGAUGUGUGGAGUAAUAGUAUUUAGAUGCAGGCAGGAGUCGGUCUAUUAAUCUUGGACGUGAUGCCUAUAUAAUGAUAAUUGUCUGGAUAUCGUCAUGAUUAUUUGAAGUUCUAUCAAUUGCCCAACAGUAAUUUGUUUACCCACCGUUUUCUAUUUUUCCCGAGAGAAGCCACUAGUGAAACCUACGGCCCCCGGGUCUCUUUCUUAUAUUAUUUGCCUUUGCGAUCUGUUUUCCUUUGCUUUUAUUUUCAGAUCUAUUAAACCAAAAAUACAAAAAUACCUUGCUGCAAUUUAUUCUUAUUUAUUUUAUUUGGCGUUCGAUCUAUCAAUCUACUACAAUUUAUUCACGUCCGUUCACCAAUUCUGGCAUCGCUACCCGAAAGGGAUUGACAGCCCCUUUUACAUGUCGGGUUGCGAGUAUUUGUUAUUUGUGUGCAGGUGUUGUUUACAUUGUGUUGCUUGGUCCUCCUACUGGUUCGAUAACCUUGGUUUCUUCAACGAGGGAAAUACCUACCGACCGUUGUGCUGCAUCAUUCCUUCCUCUUUGGGAAAUACCGACGUAGCUUCAAGCCGCAUCAAGUCUCGACCUGGCUGAGCUCUCCUACUCGACGAGGGAGACCUUCCUAGGAAAGUAUCUUGUUGUGUAGGUACUCUUGGUGCACUCCUUGAUCUCUCAAAGAGCGGGUUCUCUGGCUUGGCCUAGGAAUGUAGACUGUCGUUAGGGACGAGGCCUCUAGUUUGCCUGUGCAUAAGUUUGGCCAACAAACGCAGGUGUUCAUUGCACCGACAGAAGCCCCUGGGCCUGGCUCGUACAUGCUGCCGAGCAUCGCUGGGGUAGGUCCCAGUAAUGCAUAGGCGAACACCAGAGCCACGCCACGGCGGGAUCUUUCCUUCUUGAGAUGUUCUUUGCUUCUUCAUUAACCUUGAACUUGUUGGAAAUAUGCCCUCGAGGCAAUAAUAAAAUGGUUAUUAUUAAAUUUCUUUUAUCAUGAUAACUGUCAAUUGUUCAUGCUAUAAUUGUAUUAACGUGAAACUGUAAUACAUGUGUGAAUACAUAGACCAUUAUCAUGUCCCUAGUGAGCCUCUAGUUGACUAGCUCGUUGAUCAAUAGAUGGUUGUGGUUUCCUGACCAUGGACAUUGGAUGUCGUUGAUAACGGGAUCACAUCAUUAAUUAGGAGAAUGAUGUGAUGGACAAGAUCCAAUCCUAAGCAUAGCACAAGAUCGUGUAGUUCGUUUGCUAGAGCUUUUCUAAUAUCAAGUAUCAUUUCCUUAGAUCGUGAGAUUGUGCAACUCCCGGAUGCUGUAGGAAUGCUUUGGGUGUAUCAAACGUCACAACAUAACUGGGUGACUAUAAAGGUGCACUACAGGUAUCUCCGAAAGUGUCUAUUGGGUUGGCACGAAUCGAGACUGGGAUUUGUCACUCCGUAUGAUGGCGAGGUAUCUCUGGGCCCACUCGGUAAUGCAUCAUCAUAAUGAGCUCAAUGUGACUAAAUAAGUUAGUCAUGGGAUCAUGUGUUACGGAAUGAGUAAAGAGACUUGCUGGUAACGAGAUGGAACGAGGUAUGGGGAUACCGACGAUUGAAUCUCGGGCAAGUAACAUACUGAUGGAUAAAGGGAAUUGUAUACGGGAUUGAUUGAAUCCCCGACAUCGUGGUUCAUCCGAUGAGAUCAUCGUGGAACAUGCGGGAGCCAUAUUGGCAUCCACAUCCCGCUAUUGGUUAUUGGCCGGAGAGGCAUCUCGGUCACGUCUACAUGGUUCCCGAACCUGUAGGGUCUACACACUUAAGGUUUGGUGACGCUAGAGUUGUAACGGGAAUUGUAUGUGGUUACCAAAAGUGGUUCGGAGUCUCGGAUGAGAUCCCGGACGUCAAGAGGAGUUCCGGAAUGGUCCGGAAGUAAAGAUUUAUAUAUGGGAAGUCCUACUUUGGCCACCGGAAAAUGUUCGGGAUUUUUCGGUAUUGUACCGGGAAGGUUCUAGAAGGUUCCAGAGUGGGGCCCACCUGCAUGGGAGACCCACCAAAACGUGGGUAGUGGGGGCAAGGCCCCACACCCCUGGUCAAGGCGCACCAAGAUCCCCCCUUAGAAGGAAUAAGAUCAUAUCCCGAAGGGAUAAGAUCAAGAUCCCUAAAAAGGGGGAUAACAAUCGGUGGGGAAGGGAAAGGAUGGGGUUUCUUUCCUCCACCUUUGCCAAAGCUCCAAUGGACUUGGAGGGCAAGAAACCAGCCCCCUCCACACCUAUAUAUAAUGGGGAGCUGCAUGGGAGCUUCACCCCUUGCCCGUGGCGCAGCCCUGCUCCCUCCUACACCUCCUCCUCCUCCAUAGCGCUUAGCGAAGCUCUGCCGGAGAACCACGAGCUCCAUCGCCACCACGCCGUCGUGCUACCAAAGUUCUCCCUCAAUUUCUCUUCUCCCCUUGCUGGAUCAAGAAGGAGGAGACGUCCCCGGGAUGUACGUGUGUUGAACGCGAAGGCGCCGUCCGUUCGACGCUUGGAUCGGAUCUUCGGUGAUUUGAGUCGCGACGAGUAUGACUCCAUCAACCGCGUUCUUGUAACGCUUCCGCUUAGCGAUCUUCAAGGGUAUGAAGAUUCACUCCCUCCUAGAUUGAUGUCAGUGACAUGUAUGAUUUUUUUGAAUUAUUACUACGUUCCCCAACAGUGGCAUCAUGAGCUAGGUCUAUGCGUAGAUUCUAUGCACGAGUAGAACACAAGUAGUUGUGGGCGGUGAUUUGUUCAAUUUGCUUACUGUUGCUAGUCUUAUCUUGAUUCAGCAGCAUUGUGGGAUGAAGCGGCCUGGAUCGACCUUACACGUACGCUUACGUGAGAUAGGUUCCACCGAUUGAGACGCACUUGUUGCAUAAGGUGGCUAGCGGGUGUCUAUCUCUCCCAGUUUAGUCGGAUCGGAUUCGAUGAAGAGGGUCCUUAUGAAGGGUAAAUAGCAAUUGGCAUAUCACUAUUGUGGAUUUUGCGUAGGUAAGAAACGUUCUUGCUAGAAAACCAUAGCAGCCACGUAAAACAUGCAACAACAAUUAGAGGACGUCCAACUUGUUUUUGCAGGGUAUGCUAUGUGAUGUGAUAUGGCCAAAAGGACAUGAUGAAUUAUAUAUGUGAUUUAUGAGAUUUAUCAUGUUCUUGUAAUAGGAAUCACGACUUGCAUGUCGAUGAGUAUGACAACCGGCAGGAGCCAUAGGAGUUGUCUUAAUUUAUUAUAUGACCUGCAUGUCAAUGAAAACGCCAUGUAAUUACUUUACUUCAUUGCUAACCGUUAGCCAUAGUAGUAGAAGUAAUAGUUGGCGAGACAACUUCAUGAAGACACGAUGAUGGAGAUCAUGAUGAUGAAGAUCAUGGUGUCAUGAUGGUGACGAUGGUGAUCAUGCCACACCUCGAAGAUGGAGAUCAAAGACGCAAGAUGAUAUUGGCCAUAUCAUGUCACUUUAUGAUUUGCAUGUGAUGUUUCUCAUGUUUACAUCUUAUUUGCUUAGAAUGACGGUAGCUUAAGUAAGAUGUUACCUCACUAAAAUUUCAAGAAAUGUGUUCCCCCUAACUGUGCACCAUGGCGAAGGUUCAUUGUUUCGAAGCACCACGUGAUGAUCGGGUCUGAUAGAUUCUAACGUUCGCAUAUAACAGGUGUAAGGCAGAUUUACACAUGCGAAACACUUAGGUUGACUUGACGAGCCUAGCAUGUACAGACAUGGCCUUAGAACACAAGAGACUGAAAGGUCGAACAUGAGUCAUAUAGUAGAUACGAUCAACAUGGAGAUGUUCACCGUUGAUGACUAGUCCGUCUCACGCGAUGAUCGGACACGGCCUAGUCGAUUCGGAUCAUGUAUCACUUAGAUAACUAGAGGGAUGUCUAUCUAAGUGGGGGUUCAUUAAAUUAUUUGAUUAGAUGAACUUAAUUAUCAUGAACUUAGUCUAACAUUGUAUUUACAAUAUAUCCUUUAGAUCCAAUGGCCCAUGCUAAUGUUGCCCUCAACUUCAACGCGUUCCUAGAGAAAACCAAGCUGAAAGACGAUGGUAGCAACUAUACGGACUGGGUCCGUAACUUGAGGAUCUAAUAACCCACAAGUGUAGGGGAUCAAUUGUAGCCUCUUUACAUAAGUAAGAGUGUCGAACCCAAUGAGGAGCUAAUGGUAGAACAAAUAUUCCCUCAAGUUCUAUCGACCACCGAUACAACUCUACGCACGCUUGACGUUCGCUUUACCGGAAACAAGUAUGAAACUAGAAGUACUUUGUAGGUGUGGUAGGAUAGGUUUGCAAGAUAAUAAAGAGCAUGUGAAUAAAAUAUAGGGGGUGUUUAGAUAAAGACACAACUAAGUUAGUUUUAGUAGAGAGAUAUUAUCAAGAACAAAGUUAUUUGUCCCUAGGCAAUCGAUAACAAGUACUGGUAAUCAUUCUUGUAAUUUUAUAUGAGUGAGAGGCAUGAGCUAACAUACUUUCUCUACUUGGAUCAUAUGCACUUAUGAUUGGAACUCUAGCAAGCAUGCACAACUAUAAAAGAUCAUUAAGGUCGUGAAACCGAACCAUAGCAUUAAGUAUCAAGUCCUCUUUACUCCCAUACGCCAUAACCCAUCUAUCCGCGUUUAGGCUGCUGUCAUCCCCCGCAACACUGACAAUAAGUGAACCAUGAACAUAUUGCAACACCCUAUAGCGGGGACCCCUCAUGUUUGCGCAAGACGGAGGGCACCGUAGGACAGCACCAUAAAUAAAAUAUACAAUCAUACCAACCAAGAUCACGAUUAACCCAUAGGACAAAACGAAUCUAUUCAAACAUCAGAGGAUAACCAUAAAUCAUUGGGAAAUAAUAUAUGGAGUUGAGCACCAUGUUUAAGUAGAGAUUACAGCGAGGGAAAGAGGUGUUACACCGCUGCAUAGAGGGGGAGAGAGUUGGUGUUGACGGUAGCAAGAUUGUUGAUGUAGAUCCCCAUCAUGAUCCUAGCCCCGGUGGCACUCCGGCACCACCGGAAGUGUGAGGGAGAGAGCCCCCAUCCUUCAUAUUAUUCCUUGGCCUUCCCCCUAGAUGGGAGGAGGGUUCCCCCUCUGGUCCAUGGUCUCCAUGGCGGCGGAGGGGCGGGAGCCCCUCCGAGAUUGGAUCUACCUCUCUAUUCUCUAUUGUUUCACGUUCUUAGAUCUGGCUGAAAACCGUUUCUUAUAUUCUUGGAGAUUCGUAACUCCAAUUGCACUGAGACUUUAACACAAUAUUUUUUUCCGGAUAUAAGCUUCCUUGCGCCCGAAGUAGAGCUCCAACCAAUGUUCGAGGAGGGCACAACCCACCACCGCGCGCCAGGGGCCUCUGGCGCGCCCUGGUGUCUUGUGGGCUGUGUGGGCCUCCGUUUGCGGUGAUUCCAACUUCCAAAAAUCACAUAUAUUCCAAAACAAUUCUCCGUGAAAUUUUAUUAUAUUUGGACUUUGUUUAAUAUGGAUUUUCUGCGAUACAAACAACAUGCAGAAAACAUGAACUGGCACUAGGCACUGGAUGAAUAGGUUAGUCCAAUAAAUCAUAUAAAAAGUUGCCAAAAGUAUAUGAAAGUGGUAUAAUAUUGGCAAGAAACAAUCAAAAGUUAUAGAUAUGACAGAGACGUAUCAGGAUCAUCCUCAUAGCUGCCAAGAAAGCUUAUGUCCUUGAAGCACCGCUUGGUGACGCACCCAUUUUCCCAGCAACUCAAGACGUUAUGAACGCCUGGCAGUCGCAUAGUGAUGAUUACUCCCUGGUUCAAUGGGGCAUGCUUUACAGCUUAGAACCGGGCUCCAAAAGCGUUUUGAGCAACACGGAGCAUAUGCGAUGUUCCAAGAGCUGAAAAUGGUUUUCCAAGCUCAUGCCCAGGUAGAGAGAUAUGAAGUCUCCGACAAGUUCUACAGUUGUAAUAUGGAGGAAAAUAAUUCUGUCAGCGAGCAUAUACUCAAAAUGUCUGGGUUGGACAACCGUUUGUCUCAGCUGGGAGUUAAUCUUCGAGAUGACUCGGUCAUUGACAAAAUCCUCCAGUCGCUUCCACCUAGCUACACGAGCUUUGUGAUGAACUACAAUAUGCAAGGGAUGGAGAAGUCCAUUCCUAAGUUAUAUUCAAUGCUGAAAUCAGCGAAGGUGGAAAUCAAAAAGGAACAUCAAGUGUUGAUGGUGAAUAAGACCACUAGUUUCAAGAAAGGCAAGGGUAAGAAGAACUUCAAGAAGGAUGGCAAGGGAGUUGCCGCGCCCGAUAAGUAAGUUGCCGGGAAGAAGAAGCCAAAGAAUGGACCCAAACCUGAGACUGAGAGCUUUUAUUGCAAGGGAAAUGGUCACUGGAAGUGGAACUGCCCCAAGUACUUAGCGGAUAAGAAGGCCGGCAACGCCAAAGGUAUAUAUGAUAUACAUGUUAUUGAUGUGUACCUUACCAGCGCUCGUAGUAGCUCCUAGGUAUUUGAUACCGGUGCGGUUGCUCACAUCUGUAACUCAAAAUAGGAGCUACAGAAUAAGCGGAGACUGGCGAAGGACGAGGUGACGGUGCGCAUCGGGAAUGGUUCCAAGGUCGAUGUGAUCGUCGUCGGCACACUACCUCUACAUCUACCUUCAGGAUUAGUUUUAAACCUCAAUAAUUGUUAUUUAGUACUAGCUUUAAGCAUGAACAUUGUAUCUGGAUCUUGUUUGAUGCGAGAUGGCUACUCAUUUAAAUCCGAGAAUAAUGGUUGUUCUAUUUAUAUGAGAGAUAUGUUUUAUGGUCAUGCCCCAUUGGUCAAUGGUUUUUAUUAAAUAUCGAACGUGAUGCUACCCAUAUUCAUAGUGUGAAUACCAAAAGAUGUAAGGUUGUUAAUGAUAGUCCCACAUACUCGUGGCACUGCCGCCUUGGUCAUAUUCGUGUCAAACGCAUGAAGAAACUCCAUGCAGAUGGACUUUUGGAGUCUCUUGAUUAUGAAUCAUUUGACACGUGUGAACCGUGCCUCCUGGACGAGAUGACCAAGACUCCGUUCUCCGGAAGAAUGGAGCGAGCUACCAACUUGUUGGAAAUAGUACAUACUAAUGUAUGCGGUCCAAUGAGCGUUGAGGCUCGUGGUGGCUAUCGUUAUGUUCUCACCCUCACUGAUGACUUAAGUAGAUACUGGUAUGUCUACUUAAUGAACACAAGUCUGAGACCUUUCAAGGAAUUUCAGAGCAAGGCAGAGAAUCAACAUGACAUGAAAAUAAAGUUCUUACGAUCAGAUCAUGGAGGAGAAUACUUGAGUCACGAGUUUGGCAUGCACUUAAGGAAAUCUGGAAUUGUUUCACAACUCACACCGCAUGGAACACCUCAGCAUAAUGGUGUGUCCGAACAUCAUAAUAGCACUCUAUUGGAUAUGGUGUGAUCUAUGAUGUCUCUUACCGAUCUACCGCUAUCAUUUUGGGGUUAUGCUUUAGAGACUGCCGCAUUCACUUUAAAUAGGGCACCGUCUAAAUCCGUUGAGACGACACCAUAUGAAUUAUGGUUUGGGAAGAAACCUAAGUUGUCGUUUCUGAAAGUUUGGGGAUGCGAUGCUUAUGUCAAAAACUUCAACCUGAAAUGCUCAAACCCAUAUCAAAAAAAGCAUCUUCAUAGGAAAUGCUAAGGAAACUAUUGGGUAUACCUUCUACCUCAGAUCCGAAGGCAAGAUCUUUGUUGCCAAGAAUGGAUCUUUUCUGGAGAAAGAGUUUCUCUCGAAAGAAAUAAGUGGGAGGAAGGUAGAACUUGACGAGGUACCCCCUCUUGAACCGGAGAGUAGCACAGCUCAGGAAGAUGUUUCUGUGGUGCCUGCACCAAUUAGAGAGGAAGUUAAUGAUGAUGAACAUGAAACUUCGGGUCAAGUUGCUAUUGAACUUCGUAGGUCCACGAGGACACGUUUCGCACCAGAGUGGUACGGCAACCCUGUCCUGGAAAUCAUGUUGUUAGACAAUGGUGAACCUUCAAACUAUGAACAAGCGAUGGCGGGCCCAUAUUCCAACAAAUGGCUUGAAGCCAUGAAAUUCGAGAUAGGAUCUGUCGGGGAUAUUCCCCACGGCGUAAACCGGCCGGAAGGAUAAACCGGCCGGACUUGGCAAUUCACCGGCGACCUGCACAGACCAGACGGUUUACAGCUCAUUGGUAAUCCGGCAGGCGGGCCAGAGGAGCAACAAGACCCGGUGGCCCAACGGGCGGUUCAUGAAGGCCGGUUCAACUAUGGUGGGCCGGUUUAAGAUGAAAGGAAUAUUUGCCUCACAAGGAGUUAAGACUAGGACUUGUAUCCGGUUUGUAUUAGAGAUAGACUAGUCCUAAUCCUAAUAGGACUCCACAUGUAACCCGCCCCUUCAACAUAUAUAAGGAGGGGCAGGGCUCCCCAAAGAGGGACGAGUUAGAAGUUACAAGUUACAAGCAAGAAGAAACAAUCUUAGGGCUAGACACAAAGACGAGAGCCGGUUUACGGCGACUACCUCGUGAUGAUAAUGAGACCUAGCCUCAAAUAGCAUGUAGGGUUUUUUACCGGAUGAUGUUUCCCGGGGCCCGAAGCUGUCUAAAUCCCUGUCUUGUGUUGCGUCUCUCGAUUCCGCUCAACCCCUCUCAAGCUACCACAUAGAUGCGUUGGCCUCGCGACUAAGUCCUGACACUAAGGACAUCUGCCGUGACAAUUCCACGACAGUUGGCGCCCACCGUGGGGCUCGCGCACGGUGGUGUUGAGUUCUUGGAGGGAUGUAUUUCAGGGAUUGAGAAGUUGGUGAUGUGUUGGAUGAAAAAGAACCGACACAGAAGACGUCUGGUGCACAGUCAAAGCAACAUAUACAUGAGUUAAGAUCAAGAGAAAAUUAGGGUUGCGUCUAGGCGCCAGUGUACACGACCGGAUGAUCCGUCUGAGGCCAGGUUGAUUUUUUGCUGCCGCAACAAGUCGAAGUCUCGUAUCAGAAAUCAAUCGGUACGAGAUACGAGAUGCAAUCACCGAGUCCGACAGAUUUGACGGCUCCGUGUCCGUUUGUGAAUCCAAUAUUGGAGGUCUAUUUUUCCUGUGUUUAAAUCUAGACGUACUGACCCAGUACGGGUUACUCGGAUGGUUGUUGCUCCCAAGGGUAAAUCGUGGCAGCAGAGGCAAAGCUAGCAGCGUAUGCGUCAAAUCAGGGAAUUAUCAUUACUGCUAUUUUUUCUGGCCUAAAGACCAAGUCAAAGCCGGAGAUCCCCAAGCACUUCUGCUAGUACUAUAAAAAAGGAUAGUACUGUUUGAGUACUAGUAGAUCGGGAAAAGAACAAAGGAAAUUAUUAGAUGAACUGCGCACUACGUCCAAGCAUCAAAUCAGAGUUAGUACUAAGUACUAAUGGCCGGUUUAGCGCUCACGUGAAGGCAUUGGAAAAACUUGACACAACAAUCAAUUGGGAAUAAAACCUCCACCACUUGAAGGAGGACUCCAGGGGCCGUCAAUCGAAGCUGCUACUACUAUUUACUCCAGGAGAAGAUCAAACACAGGCCGACUACUCCCGUCAGGAUCAAUCUAGUAAUACUACUACUCGUCAGGAAGCUAACCCGGGUGUACACACGAACUCGGACGACUCUGGCUGCACUGUGAAGUCGCCAGGGCCUGCUCCAAAACCUCGUGGUCCAAGCCGCCCUUCGCCAGCGUGUCGAGCUACUGCCGCGGCCGCACCGUCAAAUCCGAACAGAUGAUCAAUUUCUUUUCUGCAGUUGUUUGUCGUCAAGGCUGACAGGAAUUGUGCUACACUGUCGUCGCGGGAGCUUUGCUACCUUGGCCAAACUGCUAUCAGCAUAUGAAAAUACCAGGUGCUAUUUAUCCUAUUUUAGACACGUAUUAAUUCAUCCGAUGAACACUACUUUGCCCUGCUGUGUUUUAUAUGCAGGAGAAUUAUUCGUCACAAAGUGGCAUUAUACCGCGGAGAUGGAGGCGUGCCAACAUUAUUCGGCACGGGUGGUCGUCCUUACUCAACGGACCCCCGCGCCGGGUUACAAUACCUUGACCGACUCGCCCGACCGCACUGCCUUCCAGCCCCACGGACAACUCGCCCGUCCGCCCUUGCGGCCGGUUCACGUGUUCGUGCUGCCUUACAAACGUCGCAGCCGACUCAUCCGUCCGCGCCGGUUUACCAUGCAGCGGCCAGUUCACCCGUGAGCGACUUCAACUUCACCUAGCGAUCAUCAAUUUCAUGGCGGAUUAUUUCCGGCCUGGCACAUCAGGUGAUAUCCAUCUAAAAUAUAUUAUAUUGGUACAUAUUAUUUUUUGUCAAAGAGCAGUUUAUCUUUGUCUUGGUCUGCAACAUUGUUGAUGCAGGACAAAUUGUUUGCUGCAUCAAAACGACGUGGUUAACUCACCCGCCUGCACCGGCUUACAACGCCGCGGCCGAUUCAUCUGUUUGAGCCACCUCUGAUGCCGAGGUCAUCUUUUUCGUCCGCCUCUCAUGGCCUGGUCUACAUCAACACACCAGGCCGCACCUGUCUGCAUGAGCUGUUUAUUGAGUAUGAGCAAGUCACAGCUUGGGUAGCCCGGUUUUCUUUCAAGCAAAAUGGAGGCAAGUUAUCACAUACUAUCAACCGCUGUCUGCACUGGGUGGUUCAAUGGGCAGGCGCACAAGUCGCCGCCAUUACAGUUUGGUUAACUUCAAAUCACCAGUUGGAAGGAACCAUUGGCCGAGUUGCUGACACGGCUCAUACGGGAUCAUUUAUAACCCGCCGCAGUCACCUCAACCUUCUGUGGAUUCACAUCAUGCUAUCAACACCAAUGAUAUACAAGUUAUGCCGGUUUAUAUGACGGUCAAAUAUGGAGAAUCUCAAGCCAACUCUUCGAUUCACCUUGAGACUCGGGAGCUACGAUGAUAUGACGCAACAAGUCUUGCCAGUUUCAGCAAAUUUAAAAACCCCAGGACAAUGGAGGGAAAGAUAACCCGGUCUCGGAGGCUACUGUUAUUUGAAGGCCGUCAGAAAAUUUCCGGCUUGGAAAGUAUAUGACAAUUACAAAAUCCCGGCUCAAUGAAGAAGUUCCGGGUCAUCAGAAGAGAUUCCGGUUUAAAAUCCGGCUCAAGGGAAGCCAGUCUCACUGAAGCUCUCAAAUCUGGUUUAAGAAUUUCCGGUUCAAAAAGGAAUUAACUUGUCGCAAGUUCGAGUUUAAAGGCCGUCAGAAAAUUUCGGGCUAAAAAUGAAGAUUCUGGUUUAAAAUCCGGUUCAAGGGAAAGAUGUCUCCCACAAAGCUUUGAAGCUCUCCAUAUCCGGUUCAAGAUCCCGGUUCAAGAAGAAUUUGUCUCUUGCAAAAAAGUUAAAAAUUACCGAAGAGGACCUGCUGCCAUGAUGCGCGGUUCAAACAUGGGUAUCAUGCCUUAUUGGCCUAACAUAUUAUUGAUCACAUGGGGGCUUCUGCUUCAUAAAGCGGGGUCUCUGUUCUUCUUUACAUCAUGCGUGGUUACAUGGAGUGGCUCUGUUUUUAAAACGGCCUCCGGUUUACCCCUUGACAUUUGCUUUUUAUAUAUCACUUGGGGCCUUGGUCGUGUCCGAACCAACGCGACACCUCUUGAUAGGCGACAGCCACCAGAUCACUUGGGGACAUGGUCAAGUCUGAACCAGUCACGCCUCUUGAUCGGCCUAAGGCCACAAAAUCACUUGGGGGCUUGGUCGAACUCGAACCAUUGCCACACCUCUUGAUUUGGCAUAUAUGCCACGAAUCAUUUGGGGACCUGGCUGACUUGAAUCAUUGUCACUCCUAUUGGGGGCUUGGUCCUGUCCGACCAUGGUAACACCAUCUGAUCAGCUCAGUAUAGCAUGUUUUUUGCAAACAGUUUUAUCAUUGCCUUUGCUUGAAAUUUUCUUUAAUAAAUAUUUCUUCUUUGUUGCGUUCUUAAACCGACAAAAUUCGCAGACCGGUUCGACUGUCAAUUGACAGAACACGGUCAAUUCUUAAUCCGGAGAUUAUUUGCCCGGUUUAAUUUUUUGAUUUUAUAUUACCAUAUUAUUAUGGAGUAAAUCGGUGUUCAUUAACCCGGCUUGAUUUUCGAUUACAAGUUGUCAGUACAUGACUAAUUAUGAUCAGGCGAUUAUUAACCCGGUCUGGUUUCGACUAUAAGUUACCAGCAUUAUAUUCGGUGUUUAUCACAACCCGGUACGGUUUAUCAUAAACCGGCAUAGUAUGAAAGGAGUUAUCAUUACUCAAGAUUGGGGUUAUCACCCUUACUACAAAAAGUUGGUAAACCAACAAUGUGAUUCAAUGUCACAGGUAUGAUAUAUUUCAUAUUUGAUUAUUCUUAAAUGCAGCCUUGGUUAUAAACCUGGGUUAUAUGUUGGGCAUUAUGACCCGUCCGGCGGUAAGCCGCCAGGACACUUUAAACUUGUUGUAUGCAGAAACAGGUUGAAUAAAGCAUGAUGAUAAAUUAUCCGGUGUCUAUUAAACCGGCCUGGCUUUAAGACGAUAAGUCGCCAGUAUAUGAUGGGAAAUUAUCCGGUGUUUAUUAAACCGGCCUCGCUUUGGACUAUACGUCGCCAGUAUAUAUUUGGAUUGCGCCAUUGGAAUCAUGCGCUUAUAAAUGAUUGGGUUAUAUUAUUCAAAAAGCCAAACUUGGCUGAAUAUUCAUUAUGGUAUUGAAUGCAUAAGGUUUUCAUACUGGAUUAUAUUAUCUUGAAUAGCCAAUAUGGCUGGAUUUUUAUUAUGGUUUUUAACAACCGGUAUUAUUGAGGUUUUCAAAGUCGCUUUAGCGCAAUGGCUAUUAUUUUUUCAAAGGAUAUGCUUUAUUUUGCAAUGGAGGGAAUAGUCCCGAGUCGCUGCAGGCUUACGACCCGGCACUUGGGGGCUACAUUAUUCAAGUUGAGAUUAUAUCAAAUAUGCAAGUCUCAUGUCGCUGCAAGCAUGCACCAUGAUACUUGGGGGCUAAUGUAAAGUCAUUUUUUGCUCAUAUUAUUGAAGACCCGAUUCAUCACAUUAUAAUGAGCCAGCCCUUGGGGGCUACCAAUUGCUCUUGUCAACAAUUCAAGGUACAAAGUUUUUAUCCAUUAUAUUGAAGGGUACAUUGCUCAGUUGGUAAAGCACAAGGCUCUUAACCUUGUGGACGUGGAUUCAAGCCCCAUGAUGGGGGUUGUAUUAUAUGAUAUUAUUUUUAUUGAAGUAUAUAUCAAGUCCCAGCUCAAUAUUAUCUUACUGAGCCGGCCCUUGGGGGCUAUACACCGUUGUUGUUCAAAGAUUACAUGAUUAUAUUUACAAAGUCACUGCUCAUUAUUGCAUAAUGACCCGGCCCUUGGGGGAUACACUGGUUGAAGUUUUUAUGAGCAUCAGGAAAUUACAAGUCCCAGGUUACUACAAGCAUGACAACCCGGCACUUGGGGGCUACAUAUUGGGAAUACUCAAUUCUGACUAGUGAUUGAGAUGGACAACCUGGAUUUCUUCAAGAUUGUGAUAUUUAUAUUGAAGCAAGUCUUAAGCUAUUGCUAUGCUACCUUCUUAAGACUUGAGGGCUACAAGUGAUAGUCUUAUAAGAGGUAUAUUUUCAAGCUGGAGGUCAAUUACAAGUAUGAACCGGUACUAUCAAUAUUUAUAAACCGGCAAGUUUUACAUUCUUAAACCGGCUGAAGAUCAGAUGAGGAUUUCAAGGACCAUUAUUUUUGUUAAGCAUUGGGAGCUGAGAAACUAAUGUCAGCAAAUUGAUUAUGAAGCUGGCCUAUUAAACCGGAUUUUCUAGAAGGAGGAAAUAACAAGGACUUAAGGAUGAUCAGGCGCCGGUUUACAAGAAUUCUUAACCCGGAGCACAACCUAUCAAAUUUGUUCUGGUGUUUAUUUGCAGCAUAAGUUUACCAUGGAUAAAUCCAAGCUAAACUUGGGGGCUAAUGUCGGGGAUAUGCCCCGCGGCGUAAACCGGCCGGAAGGAUAAACCGGCCGGACUUGGCGAUUCACCGGCGACCUGCAUAGACCAGACGGUUUACAGCUCAUUGGUAAUCCGGCAGGCGGGCCAGAGGAGAAACAAGACCCGGUGGCCCAACGGACGGUUCAUGAAGGCCGGUUCAACUAUGGUGGGCCGGUUUAAGAUGAAAGGAAUAUUUGCCUCACAAGGAGUUAAGACUAGGACUUGUAUCCGGUUUGUAUUAGAGAUAGACUAGUACUAAUCCUAAUAGGACUCCACAUGUAACCCACCCCUUCAACAUAUAUAAGGAGGGGCAGGGCUCCCCAAAGAGGGACGCACUACUAGAAAAACCCCUACUAAUGGCGCACCUAAUAUGGCCAUUAAUGGCACAUCUGUGGUGCGCCAUUAACAGCACGCCAUUAGUAAUUUUUACUAAUGGCGCACCACCUGGUGCGCCAUUAGUAUCUGGUAUACUAAUGGCGCACCGCGGGUGCGCCAUUAGUAUAGGCCAGCGUGCGCCAUUAGUAAGCCUCCCAGGGGCCAUGUAUACCCAGGUGCUUUGGCAUACUAAUGGCGCACCACCACUGGAUGCGCCAUUAGUAACCGCGGCAUACUAAUGGCGCACUACCCAGUGAUGCGCCAUUAGUAUGCACUGUCAUACUAAUGGCGCACUGUCAUGUGAUGCGCCAUUAGUAUGAAUAUUAGGUUUUUUUUAUUUUUUUUAUUUUCUGUUUUUUGCACAGGUUACAAAAUGUAUAAUUUGACAAAAUAUAGACAGCACACAUCAACAACAGAUUCAUCGAAUACAAUAGAAGAUUAGUCUUUGAAUACAAUUCAUCAUAUUAGUCUCCGAAUACAAUUCAUCAUAUUAGUCUCCGAAUUAAAAAGACUGAACAAAGAUAGAACAUUAUAUUACAAGUCUCGAGACCGCGAGUAGCGAGUUUAUCUUCACAUUACAAGUCGAUAUCGAUCAUCUAAACUACCAUCACAUAGAAGAGAGCUGCGGUCAUCACGAUGAGCAUCAUCACGAUGAAACUCGUCUUCAUCCGGUUCCUCCAACGCUCCCUCCCCUCUCCCGCUAGAUAGCGGGCGUAUCUAGAUUCGGCCUCGGCCCUAGUGGUGUACCCUUUGUAACUGUUACCGCUGAAUCGGUGAACCUGUCUCCGACACUCCUCCAGUCAUCGUAGACUCCGGGAACCUUACCCUUGUACACGACAUACGUCAGCAUCGCUAUGCACUAGCCAAACGAAACGUUAGUACCAAUUCACAGACAAUACAUAAGCAAUAUAUAAUUAUGCAACAGAACGAUCGGAAGAGAAAAGCAAGACAUUAAUAGCAUCGAUUACAUCUAAGUUGAAUGACUCUCGAAACCAAAGAGACAUACUACAAGUUCAUCAAAGUUUAAUUACAACAUGAACCAAUCGAUGUUUCAGAACUAGACAACUCGACUCAAGGGACCGGAGCUUGUGUUUUCAAAUUCAGCGGGGAACUUGUAUCGUUCGUGCAGCUUCGUGAAGAGGAGGUUGCGCAAAUUCCCUCGGUCAGGAUGCCUCAGGUUCUCGGUGUUGAUCGAGACGGUGCUCCGGACAAUGCACCCGAGCUGAAGCGAGUACCCCUUGACUAUUCGUUCGGGCGCCGUUGGAUUCCCGUUGGAGUCCACUUCAGUAACUUCCUCCGUGAGGAUGCGGAGCACGAUUGGGCGCCGGUCCUUCCGUUGCCUCUUCGGUUGGCUGCCAUCUGUGCGUGCGCCGCCAUCAUCAGUGGUGGCAUCCUCGGCGGCACCAUCAGUGUGGUCAUCCUCGGCGGCACCAUCCGUGGUCUCAGGAUCGGUGGGGAAGGCGGCGGCCUCAUACAAGUGAGGUUGUUCCUCCAUCUCCUGAGACAGCUCCCAGAAUGCCUUGCCGCCCGAACCCCCGGCCUCAUCGUUGUGUGCCAUGUUUCUCUCUAAAUAGAAACAAAGUUUGGUCAAAAAGUUGGUUAUUGUCAAGGAACAAGAUCAUGGUCUCAUCAUUUAGGGUUUGUCGACAUCGAGGCAUCCUAAAAUCUAAGCUUUUAUCAUUGAGGGUUUUUCGACGCCGAGGCACCCUAAAAGCCUAACCUUUCAUCAUUUCGGUUUUUAUCGACACCGAGGCACCCUAAAAGCCAUGCAUUAGUCACAAGUACGCCGGGGCACUUGAUCCUACUUAAUUAACUACUAAGAUACCCCGGCCCAUGCAUUAGUCACAAGUACCCCAUAUGUCCUAUUUUUAGCAAAGUCAUGCUAAAAUUCACGGAAAAUUUCAGCAUGACCUUUGCUGAAAAUAGGACAUAUGGAGUACCCGAAUUUGCCGGAACGUAAGUUAAUCGACAUUCCGACAAACUCAAGGGCCUCUUGGGGUACCUGCAAUAUCAUCACGACACGAUGGUCGGAGACAAAACCCAGCAAACUAGCACCACAAUGUGCCUCUACUUUCAUAUGGAUGAAAAGGCCACAAUGUGCCUCUACUAGCAUCACAAAAAACCCCUUGAGUUAGAAGAUGGUAUCCUCCAUUUUGUACAUCUUUGCGACCGCACGGAGCUAAUUUUCUCCAUGCAUGAAACAUGACAUAUGAACAUCAGUAUGCAUUGAUUUAUGAAAGAGACAGCCUAGCAUGGGCAGCAAGAGCCACUCAGGCUAGCCAAGGAGACUGCCCAUGAAACCACACCCCAAGGUAGAAGCCAUCAUUCAUUACAAAUUUGAAUAUAUGAUAUUCCAGAAAAUAAUCUGUCUACAAAAUGAGAUACAUUCCGUUUGAACUACCAAGUUACACAAAGAAAAUGCACCUAAGCACCAAGAGGAACUGUUACAACUCCAUAAGGUAUAUCCAAGUCACUGCUACUCAUAUUCAAAAAACCUAACUCCAAUAUAACCAGAAAGAUUGUAAAACAUUAUAUCUCCCUGCUGACACGAACUGAAAGCGUAACAAAAAUACCUAUUAUUCUAGGCAGCUGCCUUGCUAGUGAUUCGGUGUCGUCGCAACUGGAUCCCUCCCACUCGACCUGCGAUCUUCUACAAGGAAAAAGUAGCAGCUCAGUCAACCACCAUAUAAUUAUACAAGGAAAAAAUGCUACUUGGCACAAGUGUAAACGAGAAGCUUGAGGUAGCAGCAGAUUGAAGUGAUAAAGUGCAAAGGAGAAGCUUGAGCUAGUAAACAAUUUCUGAAUGUUAUAAAGUGGGGAAAGUAAAAUAAAAUUCAUGACUAGUCAUGGCACUAGAAAAGAGAUGAGAUUUCACAAAACCAGAGCCAAGCAUAGUCCAGAAUGUCAAAUUUUCAGUUAGUUAAUUAUUACUCUGUGGCAUUGCCAUACUUAGCCAAGAGUCCCCAUUUCUUAUAUUCUGUGAGAUGCAGUCAUCUUUUACUCCAGUUCUUAUAGUAUUUUGGAGUACAUUGCCUGUUAUGCUGCUUCCAAGGUUAGCAUAGGUUCAGAAAUGGGGACUAAAAAAUAGUGAUUUAAUUCUCCAAUUCAAUUUUCAUUUUCAAGUUUAAAUUCUGCAUCUAAUACACUAUACUUGAUAUCAGUAUUGGUUCGCAAAACUGAAGAUGAGGCUUCAUUCCUGGGAGAAUUGACUGUUCUUUGCCAGGAACUAUCCGGUGAGAAUGAGUUGUUAAUCCCAAGGAUGUGCGUGUAUCCUACGAUUCAUUUAGUCACUAUUUUUGGGUGAAAGUUCUGACAAAGUCCUCACUCUUUGGCCCUACUGUUUGAGCAUAAUAGACACAAUAUAGAUGGCUUGUUUGCACCAUUUUCUCUUUCUAAAUGUAGGGUGUCUAGUAUUCCUGUGGUAAUUGGCUUAGUAGAAAAGUAAAUAAGAAAAUGUAAAGUAUUCCCUCAAAAAAAUAAAAUGUAAAGUAUGUCCAGUAAACUAAAAAAAGCUAGUCCAAAGUACACCUUAUGCUAGUAAAGAUGACUGUAAGUACAUAAACAACUUUACUAUUUACCAAUAAAUUUUCGGUCUUAAAUUGAUGAUCAAUCUUCUCUGAAUUUGUUCAUACAUUAAUUUUCCCGCCUCAACUCAACAAUGUAUGCUUCGGCUGGACCCAUAUUGAACUAUUAUCCAUGUUGACGGUGUACUGAAUUUAGGAUGAUGGCUGAUGGGUCUUUGGCUUCCACGAUAUCAUUACCCUGUCCGGGAUAGUGUGAAGAACCUCCUAAACCUAGAUCGGCGAGCAGGGCCAGCAAGGCAAAAGCAAUGUGAAGAUCAUGACAAACCAAGUAGUCCAACCAUCAGAGGUUCAGGUGCCUCUAACAUUUCCAGCAGAAGGGUGAUUAUAACAACGGUGCUGCGGAGACUCCUAGACGAUUUUGCUUUGGAAGAUUUCAUCAAGUUGUACAUCGAUCAAAUUACGAUGGUUUGAGAUGGUCAGAUUCUAAAUUGCUCAGAGAUUGUAGACUGUUUCUCUUAUUCCUUUGAAAAUGUAAUAUGGAAUGAUAGACCGGUGAUUAUCUAGAAUGACAAGACUUCAAAAUUGAGAUUAUUUCUCUUGUUCCUUAAAUGACAGAUACUUGUGAAACGAAAAUUGGUCUAAACAUUGUACAAAUAACAAAUGAAGGCUAGAAUCAUGAAACUCUUUCAGUUUGUGUACACAUGUUUGAGCAUUUGUCACGAAACCACCCUAAUAUCUUCUUCGGCCGCGAUGGGUUCAACUUCUGCUCCAGUUUUGGCAUACUGAUUUCAGUUACAGCAA
RNAcentral lists this long non-coding RNA (48498 nucleotides) under Triticum aestivum (bread wheat). RNAcentral describes it as "long non-coding RNA (TAES_LNC027009)". The stretch from base 42973 to 43028 matches the Rfam family "tRNA", at positions 10 to 63 of the family's 71-position model. The record is from RNAcentral. Lineage: Eukaryota; Viridiplantae; Streptophyta; Magnoliopsida; Poales; Poaceae.